ACAUGCCUAUGUUCCAGGCUCUUAGCACCUUCCUUUCAUUCCUUAUUUCAAGCUAGAGUCUUUUUGACUUACUUAUUGCAUUCGUUAUUUGUUGGCGGCGUAGUAGAGCUAACUGGCAUCUCUUUCAUUCUUUAGUUGUAGCUUCGGUGUUAAUGGAAUUCAAUCGAUUAGUGCUAUAAGGGCUGUUGACCCAAACUCUCCAUAAGGACCAUACCCGCCAAGGCUAAGAGCAAGAAGUCAAAGGAUUUAUACUCAAGCUGUAAAAGAAUGGUUACGCACCGAGCAAGGGAUCCAACUAAGAAGUGAAGUCUGACUAAACUCACUUAUUAAUCUUACCUUCCUAGCUUUUAGUCCCACUGUACUAGCUUUCAAACUAUUAGGAUCGAUUGCUAUCCUGCCUUCCAUCCAAAACCGAAUAGUAUACCUUUCCUGUCUCUUGACCUGUCCCUAUGACCCCUUGCUUGAAGUCUUAGAUGCUAGAGGAACAACAAAGAUACUACAGUAGUGCCCCCACGUACUUAAUCUCAGUGAACUCAACUCAAAACUCAGAAUUCACCCAUGACUAAUCAGAAUAGAACUCAAAAGACAUAGUCCCACUUUCGGAUAAAGAAUUUCACUCCAUAACACCUGCCUUGCAAUCGUAGCUUAAACCAAAGAAUUCGACUAUAAAGUCCGGAUACUAAGGGAAAGUCCGGAUACUAAGAAGGGGGUGGAUCCUAGCUUAUUCACUGUAAACUAAUAAAACCACUAUUUAUUGCCGACCUAUACGCCUAUAGCUGAGGAAGCACCAACCUACUUAUCUUUCUGGUCGACUGGAAUUUAUGAAUGGAAAAACUCAUACGGAAUGAAACUACUUCCCAGAGGAUUGAAUAAUUCCACUAGAAACUAGGAAUAAGGAAGAAAACGAAACCUAUUGACACGCGCGACACAUGAAACAAACACAGUCACUUUGUUAGUAGGCACAAACACACCCACUUACUAGUAGGCACACACAAACCUACCCACGGCAAUUCAUUCAAACAGGAACGAACUGGAAUUGAAGACAAAGAAACUAUACUUGCUGCUUUGCGCCUCUCUCUUUCAACUAACCAACCUCUUCUCUUAGCGCCCCAUAUGCUAAUGUUUGCGCAAUCCAAUAAAGAACAGAAUAAGGAUUUCUCGUUGUUUAAUAAGCACUGAUCUUCUCGAGUAGCAAAUACAGAUUCCAAUCGAACUCUGAAACGGACUUUUGAACCAAUGAUUCUAUUACUGCAGACACCCACAGACACACGCCCACACACGGCCCACAUACAACCACGGAGACACCCGAAGUGACUUAACUCAUACUUAGAAGAAACCAUUAACCUUAGAAUCAACCAUUAACGUUCCAUUGCGCCAAUUCCAUGAAAAAGUAGAGCUGUUUUUUGACCAAUAAACUCUAAGAAAUUACUGGAAAAUAGAAUAUAUGAUAAGAAUAAAUGACCUAUUCCCCUAGUAUCCCUUUCCUGUCUCUAACUCCACCACUGCCUUAUCUCAUCCUGCCUUAGUGCGCGGGGGCAAACGGAUACUUACUGCCUUUAAGGCUUCCUCCCUUACGAUGAAAUAUGACUACAUCUAUCGCUACACUUACUAUGUUACUUGGCUGAGUGUCUUGUCUUGUAGUUCCUUGGCGCGUAACACAUGGGUGAGACUACCAAUACCAACUACCCUUAAAGAACCAUACCAGAGAUUCUUUAUUGAAUAGUUCCCCGCCUUAAAGUAUUGAGGUUGGCGCAUCCUUAAACUCCAUAUUUGCUUUCUGUAACUCCCGGAGUCGGAUCCAACUUACACCGCUACCCAUAAGAAUGGAGCUCUAGUAAUAACAAGAAGCAAACCGGUACACAUGAAUUCCACUAAGUACUAGCGAGGAUCAAACCAAUACCCAUAAGGAUUGACUCCUGGGGAAGGUACUAGAACACCGGAAUAAGUAAUCAAACUAAUAAUAGGAAGCAUUGACUUGCUCAUAACAGGAGCAAGUCCUGUUUUGUUACCUUAUUCUAUAAGUUGUCAGUUGUGCACUCAAUGAUAUGAUUUGGGCACUGAACACUCCCUUUACCCUCUGCCUCCGUCCUUUUCUAGUAUGAGGUUAUCUUAUGCUGAUAAGUAUUCUUUUCUUAAAGCAAGGGAGGAAACAUCAUUCUUAUUUAUUACCCUUUUCUUAAAGCAAGGAGUUAUCUCACUUAGCCUAGAAGGUAAUGCUGCGGAUGAAAGAGGUAGCCAAGCCCCUGAUUCCGACUAUUUAUUCGAACUCUCUAACUCUCUCACGCUUUAGUAACUCUUUCUCCUCUCCUAACAACGCGCCGAGUCAAACACUAUCAGAUUGCUUAGUCUCUCUUCUAUAUCAAGCAUUAACCGAGUAGUAGGGCAACAGGAAUGGAACUAGUUUGUGCAGAAGAUAAGAUAAGAUUACUUGUUCUCUCUAUCAAGCAUUAACCUAGCUGUAAAGACUGUUGGUGUUCACCCCAAUGGAAUCUAUAGAGCAUAUUCUAUAAUUGAGUAUUUGACUCCACCACUUGCUUCUUUUUCCGUUGCUUGCUCAUUACCUAUUACUUGCCUUGUUUACUUGUUCCGUAGUUUGUUCCUUUGCUUUAAGAGCAAUUAACUCCCUGACGCUAAAACACAGGACGUCGAACUGGAAACUGGAUACUUUUUGGAAACUGUAUACUUUUGCAAUAUAGUAGGGGCGAUAUACUUGUUCCGGCAAACUCUAACGCUCUAUAGGGUUUCUGUACUAAAAAAAGUAUGGAUAAGGUUCUUUACUUGCUUGACCUUUGCCUGAUUGAGUACUAGGGCAGGUGAUUGGCUUGACGUCGUACGAGAGAGGUGAUUGUGUGAAAGAACUCGUUAACGCGCAAGGCCUGGUUUCGUUAUCGGGGGAGUUGUUCUGUGCAGUGCAUAAUGAGAGUACUUGCUUACGGGGCAUCGCCUGUAUCUGCAGCUGCUGCUUUCGAAAGAAUGGCUCUCGGGUCGUCUUCAUUCGUUGGAUUCUUUCUAUACAUAUGUGUCACUGAUAUUGGAUUUCAAUAGCUAUAUUCAAUGCUAUAUUUGAGUUUUGUAUAGGGUGGUUGUUACUAGAUUCUUUCUAUACAUAUGUGUCACCUGAUAUUGGAUUCUCUUCUGAAGUAUAGUUUCGUAUUUUGGGGUCAUAUUAUUCUCUCUCUUAUAUGAAAUGUGGUUUCAACAAUAUUGGAAUUGGAAAUGGAAUGAAAGGGUAACUAAGCACUCCGCCUACAGCCUUUAAUGGAAUCUAAUCCGCUCUCCUGUCAAUCAAGUAUAAAGAGUGGAGUAUUGUAUUGUAUUAUAAAGAGUUUAGUAUUGUAUUGUAUAGAAAUUGGGUAGUAGUGGGUCAAUAGGGAUCAACAUCUACUACUAUAUUUACCUUUCCUCGGUUGAAACUCUUUCCAGUACCUUUUGUCUGAUUGGAUUCAACUAGGCUGGUUCCUCGGUGAGCUUGAGCCAAUCUUCUCUUACCGGGGUAGAUGUAAGCUCCGAAUUAGUGAUAGUCUCCCUUCGCUCGGUCAAAUUGCAACCAAAACAGGCUUUCUAAAGUAUAGCGUCAUUCUCUGACUUUAGCUCGGUAUUGGGUGAAUCUUUCCUUUUCUUUCUUUCAUUCUUCUUUGUAGUAGGUGAGUGUGACUAAGGGAUGUUCUCCUCGGUAGUAGGUGAGUGUGACUAGCUAGCUUAAGGGAUGUUUUCCUCGAGGACUUCCUUCAUCUUUUCUUUCUAUCAGUUUGUUGAGCUCUAAGCCUAGAAGGAUAUCUUUUCUUUCUAUCAGUUUGUUGAGCUCUAAGCCCAGAAGGAGGAGCUAGUUGCUAGGAGAGCUAGGAUUAAGAGGAGCUUUGUUCCUAGGAGCUCGGAUUCAGAGGAGCUUUGUUCCUAGGAGCUGUUAGCUGGAGAGGAGAAGCAGAGCAGAGGGUCGAUGUGAUAUAGCUCAUUAUAUAGUUAUUGGUGGGAGGGACGAAGAAAGUAAGCAAAGAGAAGAGCGAAAGACUACUCACUAGCCCCCAAAACUCACUCAUUGUCGGGAAACUCAUAACUCGCGUUAGCACUAGCGCACCACUAACUAAUGCACAACAGACAGUUGCCGGGUUGCUUGUUCCCCGAACUUGACUUUACCCCCACUUCUUUCCCUUGCUUGCUGAAUGAAAUAAUAAAUAGACGAGAGUGCCACUCGGCCUUAGUCCGGUGAGUUAAGAGCAACGUCGUCUGCAAGUAGUUCUGUUCCAGUUCCUUCUUCAGCGCUAAGUGGUCCAAAUCGUCAAUGGAAGUGCGGUGCAUACUCGUCUCUUUCAGUUUGAGUUUCAUCGUAUAGCAAGUCCGCAUAAGAAGCCAGGAAAGUCAGAGUUAGAGUUUCCAAGAACUCCCCCCUUGCACUUUCCCUCCCGCUUGUAGCUGACUUAGCGCUUGAAGGUUCCCCUGCGAGAAUCAUCUUUCCCUCACCCGCCUAUACAAAAGGAAUUGAUAUCUCGGAAGUAACACAGGAAUCUUUCGAGCCAACACACACCUUUCUCUUUUGUUCCUAAGCUUGUUCGUCUUGUCCGAACUUACUUCACUUUGAUGCUUGGACGACUACUCGGUUUGUUUGCUGAUCUGAUCUUCUUUCUUUCUACGAUAAGACUACACUUUCUUCGCACUGAUCCCGUAGGCUAUGCUAUCAGAACUCCCAACACUUAGAUCCGGAGGCUAUCUGAACUCCCUUAACUGACAGAGAUGGAGAUGCUUGCCCGAACGUCCCUUACCUGAGACCGGAUAAGUACUUAGUUCGCAUUAUGUUGUUGGGCCAUCAAGUACCUAGCGCCUGAGAAGGCAAUCUGAGUAUAGUACAUAGCUUCAGCAGAAGGAAUUUCUUAUGAUCCUUAUCUUCAAACUCUCACUCCAUUUGAUACAGCAGAUGCGGAUUCAUAUUCUUCUCUAUUUGAUUUGAAUGUUAUUAGAAUUCUUUCUCACUUUAGCACUCUCGCUCGAGGAAAGAAAGAAAGAGAGUGGAUUAAGGGAUAGGCUUUGUGUACUAGCUUGGCAGAGUUAUGUGUCCUCCUCGUAGAGGGAGAGGCCUGUAACCGAUUUCUAAGAAGUGCCCUUUUCCGAACGAUUGAAGUUCUGCAGCAAGCCUUUGACCUUUUAAGGAGGUACGGGCAUGUCUCUUUUGAAAGAAGGAGAGCGGUAUUGUAAAGCCAUGGAGGAAGCUUCCGAGCGGUAUUGUAAAGCCAUGGAGGAAGCUUCCCAGGGUUAAGAUCGGUAUUGUUAUUUGCAUUAAGUAAGUUGUUCACUCACUUGAGACUUAAGCGCGGAGUGGGCAGUUUAGAUUAGCAUUCUCAAAGAGCGGGGAGCUCAUAUAUAAGAAAUACGAUGACAUUCGAAAAGAGAUGGAUUAAUGUUAUAUAUACUAUUCUAUAUACAAUUACACACUCGCUACAAUGGGACCCCUACCCUAACGGAGAUCAAAGCCCUUUUUGCGUAAGCCACAGGGUUGACUAUUUUCUAAGGGAAUCCCUCCCCGAUGGAGGUACCGUAUCGGCAGUUCGUAGGCAUAUUAGCCUAUCAUCUUUCUGGUUCCUUUCUCGCUUGCUGCUGUCAUCUAAUCUUUCUGCUUCUCCGGAUCUUUAUGCAACUGUUGUUAGUGCUUCUGCUUCCUCAUCUGUUCCGUAUCCUGAUCCACUGCUGAUGCUUCUUAUAUCUAUGACUUUCCUCGCACUGAACAAGCGUUAGGUGGGAACUACAAAGAGAUUCUAUCAUGGGACCCAGACAGAUGAAACGGAAACUCGAACUGGCUAUGCAAUGAUUCUUCUUCCGCUAUGGAUCCAGCUUCUUAUUCGUCACCGCUACGUGGGCUUUCUUCUUCUGCUUCAGCAGUUUCUCAUUCCAUUCCACAAGCAAGAGUCAGGGUGAACGCCCACAAGCAAGAGUCAGGGUGAACGUCUACAAGCAAGAGUCAGGGUGAACGGGAAAUUCGAUCUGUAUUUGCAAUAGGGCACAAAGAUAUUAGGCGAAAAUGCCGUAUAAGAGCCGUGCUCGCGUAAGCGCAACAUUCAUUUGGAUUAGAAAGUGAGUAGUAGUAGCUUGGCCCAGGGCGAAAGUAAUCUGCUAGCGGGUAAUCUUCACUGAAAAGAAUGGAUUUGCAUCUAUAUAUGGAGAAGAGCCACAUAUGGAAGCGCAGUAAAGAGACUGAACAAGUCAAGUUUUCGGGAGUCACGGGGGCAUUCGAUUCGAGAGGAGAAUCAACAAUUCUAUAAUUUCCUAUUUCUUGUGCAGAGUAUCUAAAUAAAGCACUUCCUCUUUAACUGAUCCAGAUCCAUCUUUUGAUCCUUAGGUACUGAUCCCGAUCAACCUCUUCUCGCCUCCUUUAUUUAAGAGCAACUCCCUUUCCAGUUAGCGCAGAUCAAUCCUCUGACUCUAGUGACCUUAUUCUAUCUAAUGUCACAGUGAAACAAUCACCUUCUUCUUAUCUUUCGAUGUGGACUUCCCUGGCACAAUAACUCCACUUUAUGAAUAGAAAUUGUAAGUAUAACCCAAAGCAAGGAGACUCGAUAUACUGAAGGAAUAUGCUUAGCGCUGAACAAAAGGAGAAAGCAAAUCACCCAAAGCAAAGGGAAGGGAAAGCCCAUAACUCCACUCACUUAACAAACGUAGCCCUACAGAGAAGUAAAGAACAGGUUGCAACUCUACCUACGCCACUACACUCCAUUAGUGAAAGUCAAAGCUGCUCAUCUUGCAGGCCAAUAAUAGUUAAGUUCCACUCCCUUCCCUGACUCACCUGGCGCAACUCAAACAUAAAUGGAAUCUAUUGCAGUCAACUCAACUCGCCAUUGCCAAAACUAGAUCUGUUCCCAAAGAGACUCUACAGAAGCGAAAACGUGUAGCGGGCAUUCAUUCAAAAGGAGACUUCGGCUUCCGUAGAACACUUUCCUCCCUCACACAGCCUUAUGCUUCUGGUUAUCUAUCACUUGUGGAUUUGAACUAACUAAGGUAAGGCUAGGCUAGGAACUCAAACUCUCAUAGGCGCACCACUCACUCUUAUGCAAUCGAACUCAUCUAUAAGUGCUCUACUUAACCGAACAAGCAAACUCAGUGAAAGUGGAAUAAGAUUGAACAGUGAGCUCCCUUACGUGCCCCAAGAAAAGAAGUAAGCUUACGCGUAACGGCGAGGAAAACAGUCCAAAUCAAUAUUACUGCAUGCUCGAUAUCAAAUAGAUAGGAAUGAAUUGCACUAGCAGAGAGAAAGUCAAUACUUAAAUGGAACCUAUGCCAUUGAAUGCCCUCUUUCUACAAGGAUAUCUAUAUGGACCAAGCGCACCUCUUUCUACACUCCGGAGUUAAUCCCAGAUACAUGGCUUAACAACCACACGCGCGGGCCCGGCUCAACAUUCUUGGAAAAUAAUCGAAUCUCAGAAAGGCUUUUCAAUGACUUGGCCAUUCAAUCUUGUGAACUAAUCGAGACCGAUAUUGGAUAAGGAGAUACGAACGGAGAGGAAUAACCAAUCGAUGAAAGAACAUGAAACCAUUCUGUUUCAAUAGAGGUACGGAAAAGGGUUGGGGGCAAUGAAGUAGGUGAAGUGGUUGGAUUUUGCGAGCUGUUCCAACCACUGCAGGAUGUGAUUCUAAGAGCCGAACAAGAAUGAAUACCACACAGAAGAGUCAAUACCGGGCUCCCUAAUAGAAUGUUUAACCGAUCCAUUCCGGAUCGAUCGAAUUGGUAAAGAAGUUGUAACAUGGGAAAACCACGGAAAACACAACUUAUUUGAAUAACCCGGUGACCUACCAAUUGUAGAAGUAGGAUCUUUGGCAAGCUAUAAGCACUUACAAAAUACAUUUCGAGUGUACCAUCUUCUUUGUCAUGUCGAGGAAAAGGUUCGGGAGGAAAGGGAAACAACAGAGGGAUCCGAAUCAGACCUAAAUGGGAAUGACAUGAAAAGUGUUUUUCGAAACCCAUAAUUAAGGGCAUUACUAAAAUAUAGAAUAGGAAUGAAAGAGCACUCGUGAUUGGUGUUCCGGGGAAGAUCUGCUUAUGAAAUAGUUCAAGAAAGAGUCGUCUCAUUUCCAUACUCACUCGUUCUUUAGAAUACACUUCUUAGGCUGGUUCUGAACGCCGCGGAACGGAAUUAACGGAAUUCUCUUUGUCGCAGCUGCAUUCGUGUUUGUUGCACAAGAUUCUAAUGGAGUCUUCAUUAAUGGUCUCUAAGUCUUUUUCAACAUGUUAGGUUCCCAGAUUGUUUGCAUUUCUCUAUUUGACAAAUAUGGUUAUCGCCUCGUAACUUAAGAUAAGACCAGAGAUGCUAAUUCUAUCAUUGAAAAUACAUUCUCCUUGACUAUUGGUUUGAGUCUACUUACUAGAUACUAUCCUUUUGAUGUCGAGGUCUACUCUAUAGCUCCAUGAUUCUUUUUCCCGAGAGUUAUUAACCCUUUGAAAAGGCUCAUGUAGCAUACUUGCCUAGAAUUAUGAUGGAAAGUCAAAAACCCCCUCUUGGAGAUGUUCCUCAAUUGAUCUGCUUUUUGAUUUGUAGAAUUUCUCUCUGUGACUCGAGUCUAUGUGCACUACCGCUUUUCUCUCAAACUACUGGCUUUUCUUGCUGUUUUCCAUUCGACCCCUUUGGAUUUCCAUCUUAUAUGCAUACACAACCCCAUAGAGUAGCAAUGAUUAACUAUCGCUCUCCCUUUUUGGAACUCUACCUACAACCUUGAUUGUUGCCCUCCUUUUGAUCGUCACUUCUUUUAGUCGGCUAACUCACAUAGGUGAUCCGGAAAGCGCGCUAAGAUAGGUGAAACUCCUACUCCAGCAGGCAGAGUGUUUGAACCCCUAUACUUAAUAUAGAUAGUUGGACUCGUGACAUUUGGAUUUGGUUUUCUUCGUUCUUGCUCUCCUUGUAUUUGCAUCGUUCACCUACUUAAUCUUAUUCCUAGUUUCUGCCCUCCCGACACCGAGACCAAAGGAUUUCUCUCUAUUGUAUUUAUUCGAUCCCAAAGCAUGCAUCUCUAGGGUUGACCCGCCUGGGCUUCCAACAUAACUUCUCCAAGUUUUCAUGAAAUAGUUCACCUUCUAAGCGAAGAAGCUCCUCCUACGAAAAAGUACGGAAGGAUGUUUUCGAUUGGGAAGCAGGCCUUGCGAAGGAAGGGCCGACACAGCCGUAGAUAGAAGGAAAGAGGCAGCGCAUGGAAAGCGGCACUUGGAAUGCUCUCGGCAGGGACCGCGGAACCAACUCAUAGAAGUGCAAAGAGGGGAGAGAUUAGGCAGCCUCACCUUAAUUCUAGCAAGACCAAGGCAAGGCAGAUUCUUUAUCUUCAAAUAAUAUAAAUAAGCAGUGCAGUGAUUUCACCUUCUUUAUCUGAAAUGAAUGAAAAUAAUAUAAAUAAGCAGUGAUUUCACAUUGCCCGCAAAGUGGUUAUUGAAAGUAGUGAUUUCACCUUCCAUAUGUUUCCAAAAAACCAGAGAUUUCUCAUUUAGGAAGUAGACCCAUGUUUUCCACUUACUUCUGCUGUUGACAAAGAAGAUAGAAUAGAAGAUAACGAGGACAGACAAGACAGAGCUAUGAUCAACCUCUUUCUAUAUUGAGAGGACAGACAAGACAGAGCUAUGAUCAACCUCUUUCUAUAUUGAUUUAAAUAGAAUAUUAAGUGAGGACGGAAUUGACUCCACUUGUGGGAGCUGAUAGAGCGCGUAGUCCCGCCCCUGAGUCAUAGCUAGCAACACCACGAAGCUCUUUCUCUUAUCUUUUAUGAAAGUUUCUUAAUGGUGCAAAAACGACCAACCAAGAGGGCGAAAAAGAAGCUGCUGAAUCCAACUACCAAGAAGGCGAAAAAGAAGCUGCUGAAUCCAAAGAGGUUGUAGAUAACAAAGAAAGUAGCACUAUAAAUAAAGCCGGUGGUCCGUCCGUCAAAGAAAAGAGAGAAGAUUCGAGUGAAUGAUCGGGUGUUAAAUGACUAUCAAGUGGCAAGCAGAGAGACGGAAGCCCAUACUCAAGCAUAAGACUAAUUCAUCCCUAGCUGACGUUCGCCUCUAGAUUGCUAAACUCCAGGCCGAGUACAGUUCCUAAAGGAAAAGGCGGGUGCCCAGAAAGAAACCCUGGCCAGGCUAUCAAAAACAAAGCAAGAGCUAUUCGGCGCUGCACAACCUCUGAUUGAUGGCCACAUUUGGUCUAAAGAUGCAAAUGUUACCUUGCGCAUUAGCGAGUUACUUAAAGUCAGCUUACGCUUACUUCUUGGGUUGGGGUGUUUCACGUUGGAGAUGAGUCCUUUUUUCUGCUGUUGAACAAUAGAUAGCUGAGUUGAAGCUUUUGGCCCAUUUCCUUCUAUCUCUGCCUUUCACUUUAUUCUUUUUGCUAUGUCUGGGACCUUUCUUUCCUUCCAUUCUAUUUGCACUUCCUUUUUGGAUAUUUCCUCUGCUCUUAUGAUCAUGUCUUCUCAUUUAUUUGGAUAUGAUGGAAGAGGCUGUGAUUCGGCUUUUGAACUUGGAACAAUUGGCUUUGGUUGUACUUGCUACUGGCCCCUUUUUACAUAGUCUAUGUGUUUCACCGUGGGUUCGGCUUAGAUAUAUGCUACUUCACUUUCCAUUGUGCUAAUCUUGGCCGGAGCUGGACGGAUUCAAUAAGUCUAGGGGAAUCCUGGCCAAACUACUGUCAAUUAAUAGAAGAAUUAGGGUAUUGGGGUUUUUCAACUAAGAUUAUGCCUCGGCGCAAGAGAGAGAUUCCAUUCGACUUCCUCGGUGCAAGACGUCUAUGAGAGAGAGGUGAUUCUUUAGGCAAGGCAAUAAAAUGAUGUUCUUGAAAAAGGGAAUGGACUGUUCGACACUUUACUUACGAUCUAUACCUGCUUCCAUACCUGUUACUUACGAUCUAUACCUGCUUCCAUACCAGGUGCUCGAUAAGAUGGAUUCAAUUCAGUCACUGAUAGGAAAAGGUUGGUGCGAGUGCGAAGCCUGAAGGAGACGAUGAUGAACUUCUGGUCGAGAUCAAGUGCUGUGCGGUAUAAAGGUUAUUAAGACGACGAAGCGGGACAGGAAAGUGGAAUUUCAGUAGAUAAGCCACUUUCUUAGUUUCACAUGGCAAAUGACCUUUAUUGUCUACCGACAAUGCUCCUAUAAUGCUUUUUUGUCUAGAAACAGAAAACUCCUGCUCGGCUCAACACUGGACCGAACCGAACCCUCCUUGAAGUGAAGAACCACAAUCCACUGUAGGAUUGGCCUUCAACUUGGAUUCCUUCUGCCGACCUAACCCCUUAACCUAUACUUCAAGUGAAACACCGCUUACCGCGUAGCCAAUAACGGAUCUUGGAGACAACGCGCUUGCAGCCCGGAACCCUGCUCCUCAGUAUUCUAAAAGAGCUAGAUGAUCUUCUUCAUUGAUAUUUGCUUAGACUAAGUGCAACUCGCUAAUGCUGAAAAUAGGACUUUCAACUAACUAACUAAGAAAGUAAGCUUCAAGCUGGAGGUAAAGUGUAAGCAUUGUCUACGUUUCACAUAGGCAUAGGUUAAACGACUCGAAAUCUUCAAUGAAUUCUUCCGCUGGAGAAGAAACUGUUCGAGUUCAAUAUCCAGCUCGACCUGACUGGAGCCUCGGAUUCCUCUAUCACGUAACUGUAUUUCGCACCCCGCACAAGUUAACAAGCAAGGGUAGAGUUCCCUGACUAUAGCUAAGGGUAGAAUUCCGAUUCUUUCUGGAUGUCUUUCCCCCCUUACCUCUACUUUUGGAAGUGACUUCCUAACGCCGAGCGGAACUAUGGUUGCUUAUUUUGUUCCUAAGCUUGCUGCGUUGCUUGUUCACUUCAUACUCGUAUCUGAGUUUGCUUUCUGCCUUUCAUUCUUUCUCGUUAGUUCUGCUCUCCGAGAUAAUAAGCGAGUUUAUUCCUUAGCGAGUUUCUUCCUUCCUUAGCGAGUUUCUUCCGUUGUGCUAAGGCGAGUUCCAUUUGGAGCCCGGUUCAUUAAUGACUUACCCACUAUAGGCUGAAGGAUGGGUAUGAAUCCAAUAAUGACUUGCCUACUAUAGGCUUCCGGGUAUGAAUCAAAUCUCUCAAGAGCGCUACGCACCUCUGCAACUUCAUUUAAACAUUGGAUGAUGUUAUCUGAAAGCUCUAACUACAUGGAGAUUGGCUAUGCCUCUGUUCAAGUUGGCUGUAGUGAUGCCUAUUCCUUUUGAAGGAAUUGAGUUAACCCUGUACUUGCAGGACUGAAAGGACUAAUUAGGUUAGUGAGUACUCGUCUCGGAAAGAGAGAGGGGGUUUUAUAGGUCGCCAUGUGUGCAUGACAUUCUAACACAUAGGAUAAGUUCAUAUAGAGAUAAUAGAACAUAGGCCUGAUAAGUUCAUAUGGAAGAUGGAUAAUAGAUUGACAUUCCUUUGAAAAGGGAGCCCGCUAAUGGAAUACUGAUCCAGGUCAAUAGUCAAUAAUAAGAUAUUCUAUUUGGUUGGGGUUGUGACAAGUUCUUUUCUCAUUACCUUGAUUGGCUCUAUCAUUUUGUCUUUUGAUACUUCUAAUGUACAUCUUCCAUAUGUAAGUCAAAUAAUGAAUACAAUCAGGAUCUAUUAUAAUGAAACAAACUUCUUUAUCAGAUGUCAUUAAGUAAACUUCUUUUCUUUCUUGUGUGCUAAAGUGAUUUCUUGCUGGCUUUCGAUAGCUAAACGACGAGGCGCUCCCCUUUCUUUAGAGUUAUAGGUUAUCCAAAUGGCUUUUCUUUUUCUCAUAGGUUGAAGCUUACACUUCGGCUGUCGGCAUUGCAUUCCCUUCGGAGAGAUUUUGUGAAGCAGAGAGUUCUCACUGUGCAAGUUGGAUUACUUUACCGAACCUCGCCCUCCUUUCUUUAGACUCGGUCAAGGCAAGGAGUGGUUGGCUGCUCUAUUGAUAGGAAGGGCACUUAUUAAUAUGGAUUAGUGGUAGUAGAUUGAUUGCCUUUUCUAAUAGUAUGAGGCUCUGUAUCCGUGCUGAACUCUUAAGGAAAGAAAGGGUUUAGUUACUUUAUAUGUAAAAGCCUAUUCGCGUAAUGCGUGAGAAGUCUGGCUAGAGUAAGAUAGCAUAUAAGAAAGAGAUGACAAAAACCAAAUAAAGGCAUACGCAAGGGACCUAUGUCAUUAUCAAAUAGCAGAGUAUAGGGCUUCUUACUAAAGACAAAUUUACAUAGAGAGCAUAUGAUUCCAGGCGACGUAUCUUCGCUUUCAUCUUUAUUAUAACACACUUGCAUCACUCCUUAUAAUAUACCACCCAUCUAAAUUACUCUCAUAGGAUGGAAAGAUUCCUACUGCUGCUCACUUCCUUUAUACAGCUGAGUGCUUCCUUUCUUUCUAUUGCUGCUUACUUCCUCUCUAUUCUAUUGCUGCUUACUUCCUCUCUAUUCUAUUGCUGCUUACUUCCUCUCUAUUCUAUUGCUGAGUGCUUCCUUUCUAUUGCUGAGUGCUUAUUCUUUCUCAUUUUAGAACAUCUAAGCUAUUACUAAAGGCUCUGGCUCUGGUUCUGGCUCUGCUCUAUCUGCUUACAGCCAUUUGUUCUUCUUGUUCUUUCGCCGGUAAACUCACUAAUGCUAUUGUUGCUCACUCCUGUAAGCUAACGCACUAUGGUUUCUGGAACUCUACUGAAGUCAAGAAAGAAGCCCCGCUCCCUGCCGGUUCCCUUGCUUGGUAUCUACUGAAGGAAUAUGCUUAGCGCUUCUGGUCGUCAAUGUGCCGCGUACGCUCGUAGCUCAAAGUAGUUUAAAUACGGUUCGGUUGGUUGAAAGAUGGCUGUAGUGAGUAAAGCGAGUGAAGUCAAGUAUAGAGCAGCCGGGCCCCGGGCAUUAACCACAAGAAAGGGUGCCUCAAGCUUCAUUCAAAAAAGGCAACAAGCAGCAAGGGAAUUAGUAGAAUAAGUGAUUUACAAUGCCAAUGCUUCUCUCUGAGUAAGCAGUGUUAGGGGUUCGUUCCUUUCUUUUUCUUAUAUUAUAUCAUGUGCAGCAAGCAAACUCCACUUCUAUUUAAGCUCGCAAGAGGAAGCAAGCAGUCUUUUGUCACUAAAUUCUAUUUCGGUAGCAUUCAAUUCUGCUAUUCAAAAGGGAGUGUAAGUAAACAAAAAAGGAAGAUAAAUUGAGUGUGUGCCUCUGAUAGAAGAAAUAGAAUUGAUUAAAAAACCAGAAGGAAAACUCAGAUAUAUUACUUGUCUUUAAGAACUCAUAUCUAAGCAUGCCCAUCAUACUUAUAUUACUUGUCUUUAAGAACUCAUAUCUAAGCAUACCCAUCAUUUCGAAUAUCGGCACUACCAUGUGUUAAGCAAUGAGAGUUUAGAUGGAAGUGAAGACUUAAGGAGUUGAUAUACCCUUUCUAGCAAGGCCCUAUACUAACUACUUGGAAAGAGGCAAGGCAAAGAGGCGGGGACACCGGUACCGUGUUAUCUAAGUUGAUACUUGUUCCCGCUGGCGAAUGCACCUAUUGUAUAGACUUAUUUACGAACAUCUGACUUCUUUCCAUUAUUGAUUGCGGAUUGCUUACUCCUGGUAUGAGAGCUCGAAUGGGGAUUACUUUAUUAUAGGAGCACAAUGAAAUAACUGCCUAUUACUGGUUUUUUUGUUCCGUGUUGCUGGGAACUCUUUCACUUGUUUGCUUUAAGUAGGAAUUGAGUCUGCCUUUCUUCUCCAUACGAUACUUCUAAAGCUACAACAGUUGGGCGGGGGCUUAGUAAACCAUUCAUGAAAUAAUUAUGUGGUGCACACACAUAUGAUAGAAAUGAUCAACCUCACUGCAAAACAACAAUUGAUAGAAAAAUGGAACUCAACUGCGAAACUCCAACUCCAAUAAGUGUUAGCACAACCGCUUGUUGAAAAGAGGCACCCCGACCCGAGUCGCUUGUUGAAUGGAGGAAAAGAAUGUGCACUACUCUACUAUAAGGACUACUAAUAGAAAUAGGCUCUUAGCACCUUGCUUUCGAUCUACUCGAGUAGCUUGGCUAGUUUGUGUCUUGCGCAACGACUAAUGCUAUAGUAACUUGCGUUAGCAUAAUGUGUUUUCGCCAGAGCUUGUUCAUCCUUUUGAUUCUUCCGUUGCAUGUUUCUCCACUUCUUUGACCCUUGCUGAGGAAGGCUUCUUUCUCGUUGUUUAACCCGUGUCCUGUACCUCGGGGGUCUAUUGCUAAUAAGUCUAUUAACCUGUACCUCAGGGGGUCUAUUGCUAAUGAGUCUCGGGGGUCUAUUGCUAAUAAGUCUCGGGGGUCUAUUGCUAAUAAGUCUAUUAAUGGGGCUUUAUUCCGUGUGGGUUUCGUAAGGUUAAGGGCUAAUGUUAAUCUCCGAUAGAAUAAGAAUGCUUUGGAAGGGUAAAGUGGAAAGGAAUGGCUGAAUUGGAUCUAGCGUUGAUACAUUAUAUAGAACUCAGUCAUUUUCGAAGUGUUUUUCAUAUAUAAUAGAAUUCUUCAAUGAAAAGAACUCCCCAUUAGAGGAGCCAGCCUCAGUCAGUCCCAUCACUCCGGAUUGCUUACUGCUGGCACAAACUCACGUUUACCCCCCGAAAACUCCAAAUCAUGGAAAUGACUUGAAUAGCUUUACUUGGAGAAUUCCCUCUCUUGCGCGCUUACUUUCAUAAUUCCUUCUGAAGCAGACAGCCCAGCAGUUCGAUAAUGGUAGUGACAAAAUCACUAUUCUUCUAUUCCUUCUUAAGCCCCCUAACACGCUAUAUUAGUAAUAGCUUUUUCGGUAUCUUCUAGUUUUAGGAGAGUAUCCAUUGGUGCCCCGAGUGUUGUAGGAUUAUGAAUUAGCAUAGUUUCACAGAGUCAUAUAAUAUAGACGCAAAAGACAACUAUAAGAGUGCUUACGCUUACUUUCGCAGUUGCUGCAGCUUGUUCCGUUGCGAGACGUUAAUCUUUUUAGAAAUCAAUUCUUAACAAGAAGGGCGCCAAGGCCGCUUUUUGCCCAAGCAUCCUUCAAAUGGAGUGCAUCAUCCAUUAUAGAAAUAUGGUAAACAACCACUAUAAUAAGAAUAAAGUAACCAAACUCUAAACUCCUCGCUCUUGCUUUAAUUAAUACUUUAGUGCAAAAUCAUAUUUGAGAGCGUUCCUGCUCCUGCUCUACCUAACAAAACAGUGCUAGCCCCACUUAAUAUGCAUGACAACUGAUCUAAGGGCGGAACCUAACUGCUUGUUAGCUUGUUUUUGCGCGGUUGCUUUCUCUUAUUUAACAGGCUCCUUACUCUAAGGAAGAGAAUUGAGCAUUACACUUAAUAUAGAAUAGAGAAAUAGUAACUCAACUGAUUGACUUCUUGCCUUGACUUUGAUUAUUGGCUUCUGAAGCGGUUAAGUAGAAAAGAAGCUAGAAAGCUAGUAAGUCUACUACCCUUGCCCGAGCUCACUAACGCACAAACAGAACAAAGCUUGUUCCCCGCACAACACCCAAUUGCUUCCUUUAAGAACUCAUAUCGGCAUAGAAAGAGCGAGCAACAACAGUAGGGCCAGCCAGUGAAACUGACUAUAUCCAUAUGGGGAGGAAUUUACAAAAUAAUAGCAGAAUAUAACAUAGCACCCGUUACUACACUCUAAUAAAACGAAAAAGUGAAGUAAGCGUUAGCAAUAGCCACUAUAGUCAUAAUUAGCAAAACUAAGAACUCUCAACUCACACUGCGUACUCUGAGGCAUGGGCACUGAUCUAUACGUUUGAUUGACGACAUUGCCUUUCCCUCAAACACUUGACAUUGCCUUUUCCUCAAACACUUGACAUUGCCUUUCCUUUCCUUUCGCACUCCGAAACUCACUUAUUACUUCUGAAGCCCUAGCUUGUUUCACAUGAUCCGCACAACACCUCUAUAGAAUUAGGUAACCACCUAACAAAGCAUCGCUAAAAAGAAAACUAUUGAAAACCCCACCAUAUUCAUUGUUGAACUCAUAACAUAGGCGCACCCCAGAAAGCGUAAAGUAAGCUAAUGCACAACUGUAACCCGUAAAGUCAGAAGUAAGCGUUAGCGCGUUGCGAGAGUCGAGUGGACUGUUUGCUUUAAGGUAUCGGUUAGGCGGAAAGGGUGCCAGGGAAAUGCAGCCAAAUCUAAGUCUAAAGUAUGUUUUGAAGCCGCCCCAAGAGAGUAAUAUGUUAUAGGUUCCUAUUCCUAUAUAACAUAAGUUGUGCCAUCCAUUCCAUUUAUUAUUUCUCCAUUUAUUAUUUCUUAGUAUUAGGAGCGUAAGUAGCCAAGUAACUAACUUAGAGAGGGCAAACUUCGAGCUAUAACUAAUGGAUUAGGGGUGGAUUUUGGUAUUGCUGGCUAAACGGAGUUGCCUUCCACACGUGUACUGAAACCGGAGUCUGCUACUCGCCUUAGGCAAAACCCGGAGUCUCUUGCUUUAAAGAAGGAAGGACUGAACGGUGGCAUAAAAGCCUUGGCUGCCGCGCCUGAUUCGACUCACUCUUCGAAUUACCCUAGUUCCUUAUUAAUCCAAAUAGCCAUAGUAGAAGCUGAGCUAUCUACCACCUUAGCGAAAGUUAUCAAACAAACAAAGUGACAUUCCCCUCACUUACGGAAAAAGACCUUUACUAGUAGUUCUGGUUAGCCCACUUGCCCGAGCACACUCUAAACUAGUAGAUGCGCCAAUCCUGCGUUACCCCACGAGAACAGAAAAACCAACAAAGCAUUAAGCCCUUAUUUAAGCAUACCCAACGCGGCAAUCGGAACUUAUCGAGAAGAAGAGAUAUUAACAACCUCUCAACAAGUUGCCUCUUACCUCUGUCUCACGACCGCAAAUAGAACCUUCCGCUAACAAGUGUGCCCCGAGUAGAAUCCUACGUAAUACUCUGAAUCUAGUUGUUUGGCUCCUCUGCCUUAAUCUUCUCUUGUAUGCCUCGGUUUCAUUCUUUAGGUACAUCAUUCACUUGUAUCUGGCUGGUAUCAUCGGUUUCUGAUAGAGCCUUGACACUUUUCUCCUGUCUGAACCUACAUAAUGAACUGGGAAAGGAUUACUCGACUACUAUGUCAUGGAGUGAGUGAGGGCGCAGCUACCGGCUCCCCCAGCAUCUCAAGUUCUUAGGCGGGGACAGGAUUCUUCAUUUACAUAGUAUCAAUGCUAUCUUAAGUUGUCUUGAAGUUAUGAAUAGAAGGGAAAAGUAGUAAGGGCAAGAAGGAAUUCUUUUAUGUGAAUAGUAGCUGUACAACGGUUCCAGGAAGAAAUGCCAUCGGUCAGUCCGAGUGUGAGCACUCGUUAGAAAGGCCGGAUCAUUAGAAUCCGAGGCGUUUUCACGUGUUGUACGUACUGAUCGGGAGGAUUUUGCUACUCCCAAACCGAAACCAGAAGAGAAGGCUUUCAGCACCUUGUUUCUAGUCAUGCUGCACGAGGUAGAGGCCGUGGGGGUCGGACGCUCAUCGAUUGAAGUUCACCUCCUACAUGUACUCAUUGUGGUAAGCGUGGUCAUGUCCAACGAUCGGGACCUUUAUGGGCGGACUGCCUAGAACCACUACUUGUUGGGGCAAUCAGAUAGUAUAGUAGCAACAGUAGAAGUGAGUUCAAAAGUGAUUAUAGAAGAUAGUAGCCAGAGUAGAGGUAUAGUAGUAGGAGCAUAACCAGUAACAUCUCUUAUAUCAAGGUGAGAAUUAAGGUACAAGUGGUAAGGGAGUUCAUUACUAGGGAGUUUCAGAGUGAAAGAAAGAGGAAAGAAAGGUGAGCCUACGGUUGGUAUAGAGCACCCACUUAACAGGGUUGGCCAGAAAGAAGUCAACUAGUGAGUUAUCGGAGAGAAAAGAAAGAGAAAAAAGAGAAAAGAAAGACUUUCCUAGGUAUAGCAACAGUCAAAAAUCCUCUGUCUGGGGAUUCGCGCCUAUGUGUGAAGUGUGAAGGAAUAAAACCUGUAGUGGAACCCAGUAAGAAAACUAGUAUAGCAAUAGUCAAAAAUCCUCCGCUCUAAGGGAGUUGUAUAACCCAUGUGUUCAGCAAGUAUAAAAUGUAGUAAAUAGAGAACCCAGAGAAAUGGAGUGGAGUAGUAGAACCCUAGUGUUAAGCAAUGAUCAAAUGCAAUGUUGUUAGUUUACUAUAACCUAUGUGUUCAGCAAGUAUAAAAUGAAGCAAGUAGUCAAUUAAUCCAUAAGAUAGUCAAGGCUUUGAAGCAAGAAAGUCAGAACUCAACAGGAAGGGAAGAAACAUCAGAAUUAGCGGGAGAGCCUGAGUUCACAGAGACGAGGUUAAGUAUCAAGGAAGUCAGCUACUGUCACUACAUCUGCUUACUUGUCUAGUAGUAGCUUGCCGUCUUGUCGUCUUAUCUGCUUGGCCCGUUCGAACUAGCAGCCCUUUAGCGCUACUCUCACAGCAACUGUUACAGUGUGACUAACAACAAAGAACAGUACCAGCUCAUCAGUGGUUCAAGUGCUGUGCCCAGAAACGGUUCACAGAUCUAUGGCUAGAACAAUUUCUCAACGGAUCCAUGGGAAGGAAAUAGAUUCCAAAUAAUCAUUAAAGUAAGUAGCCUUAGUUGAAUAACCUAAAGCACCGGUCUUAUUAUCAACAGCAGAAGCAAUCCGAUGAGGGUCUCUUGGGUUCUCCUCUAUGAUUGACUUUGAUAUGUAUACUUUAGAAUCUAUCUGGAGACAUGGCUAUCGUAUGUCCGCUCUAGUUUUGCUCCGCAUCAAACGUGGGUAUUAUGCAUUCAUCUUCAAAGCGUUAUUCUCAACGGCUUUUUUGACAUUUACACUGGGUGGGGCUACCCGAGCAAUCCGGCUGGGCUGCAUUUGUAUCAUACUCGCCAAGGCUAAAGUUUCGUCUUCACCGGUGACCACAACCCACCCUAUUCAAUGAACUUGUUUUCGUCUUCCGAUUGGGGGGUAAAAACACUCUCCCCCGCUUUUAUCUAGGGUGCCUUUUCUAGUCCAAAUCCACCAGGAGAAUCCAUGGACAGUCUUGAUCCAGAGAGAAAUCCUUCAGACUAACCCGCCCGCCUUUCCUCCAUACAAUUUCCUCUAUACACACACCUGUUAGGAAUAAAUGAGUUUGACUUCCCACAAUUUGGCAUUGUAAAUGGAAAAAAAGAUUGUUCUCUGAGAUGGACAUGAAACUGGAAUCCCAGCAGAUCAUUAUUCCGCUUUUAGUACUGGAUGUCAAAUGAAAGAAAAUCCUGUAAAAUUGUUCUGCGAAGGACUGGCUAGGUCGAAGUGGUUCUUCUCCCUCGAUCUGUCUUCGUUGGAAGGUUGGGUUUUCCCUCUAUCUGGGUGUCCCGUUGAGUGCUACAUCCGGUUGUCUCCCUGUUGGGAGGUUUGGUUUACUUACUUAGUGGACAUAGGAGUAGUUAGUGUACUUAAGAAUCCAAUCCAAUCCAAUAGUCCUGAUGAAUCAAAAUAUAAGAAAGAACAAACCGAAAACAAUUCUUUCAUAAUCUUUAAUAAGAGUGUUCCAAGUUCUCCGAAGGAGUUCCUUCGUUUGCUGGUUGCAUCUUUAUAUAUGAAACCGAACAAUAGAAUUAGCAACUGAGUGAUCGUAGCGAAGUGGGUGCCAAUGGGCUUGAUUGAGAGAUCUUUAUUGUAGGCUCUGCUUAUUCUAGAGCCCUGUUAGCUCUGUGCUCCUCGCUUAUCUCUCUUCUGAAUUGUGUAUAAUUCGAUAGCAGCUUCCCCGCUCUUGUAUGCCUUGCUUUCUUCUCAGUUCUCUAGGAUGGAUUAGUCUAAAUUGGAACCCGAAAUAAUACCCAGUAGUCAGUAGUAAGCCUACCGAUUGCCAGAAGUAAGUUACCCAACUAAAUAAGUGAUGUUAUAGUGCAUUUUCCACCCAUAUCUUUAGGGUUCCCUUUAAGAUCCGGCUUUGAAGCUCUAAGUGUAGAAUGUACUGUUCUUGUGUGAGUUGAAGACAGGGAGUACUUGUUCUUGAACACAGGACUCCAACAACUUUAGCACAACUCCGUCCUUAUGUCCUGAGUUGCUUGUCGGACGAAAAAGGGUAUACUUUCUGGGCCCUUGACUUUGAUAGCCUUCUUCAGCGAGGUGUCGUGUUUCGAGGUGCGUUAGUGAGCUCGGGCUCGGUUAACGCUUAAAUCCUUAUUUCUUUCCCGAUUCCUAGGGCCUUCAAAUGCAUUUCCGUCUAAUAUCUUUGAUUUCGAGUUCCGGGCACAGCACAGAAGAAAGUAUUGGAUUGAGCUAGGAAGCGAGGAUUCUUGAGCAAGCGUUGUUUGUUACCUAACAGCAGCAGAUCCAUCUUAUGCUUACGGUGAACUCACUAUAGCUUUUUUCUUGCACCGAGGAAGAGUCAAACAUGCAUUUCUUAUCUUUUGCGCACGCACAUCUAUAGAAUUAAGUAACCUAACAACUGAACUUGGCUUUAGAAUUAAGUAACCUAACAACUGAACUUGGCUUUAGAAUUAAGUAACCUAACAACUGAACUUGGCUUUUGCUUUUGCCGAACUAGACUUUACGCUUGCUCCGGAUUCUCUUCGGCUUCUUGCUUCCGCUUUAUAUAUAGGUAGGAUUAGACUGCUAGGUAGGAUUAGACUUAUUUACUUCCUGCAACACAAUAACCUCCUCAUAUGUCAGCCUUCUUCCCAGGAUCAGCGGUAAUCUCCCUUGCAUAUGGGUCCUAUAACAAACCUUUUGGUUGGUGGGAAGAAUUGCUUUCUUUAACCACUGCUCCCGUAUCCGAGUGAGUAACAACUUAGCUCCCGUAUCCGAGUGAGUAACAACUUAGCUCCCGUAUUCGAGCCGAGUGAGUAACAACUUAUUGAGUGUCUGGGAGUAUCCCCCGUAUCAAAGAAAGAGUAAGGAGGCAUGUAUCAAUAGCGCUAUGCUUUUAUUAUCUCCUUGCCACCAGGUCAGUAACCAGAGACUUGAAGGCUUUUUGAAUGAAGCAGCUGAGCAUAACGAAUCGAAGCCGAAGGCGGAUCCAAAUACGGUUGCCUCUCCUCUGAAAGAAGAAGUUGACUCUCGUUCCCUCUCCUCUGAAAGAAGAAGUCGACUCUAAUAAGUAAAGCUAUCAUAGUAAUUGACUCUAGGAAAGCCAUAAGUAAAGCUAUAGUAAUUGACUCUAAUAAGUAAAGCUAUCAUAGUAAUUGACUCUGGGAAAGCGGAACGAAGAUCCAAUGAAUGAGCUUGAAAUCCCGUUCAGAACAGUUCAGCUCAAGUUAGUAUGAGUUCCUAGCUUACGGAAUUACGCAAGGUUAUCGCUCAAUGCCAGGAGAUGCUUUUGCCUUCCUAAAUACUGCUAAGGGUCCUUCAUCCAGUAACCUUGUUCCCGCAAGAGAACUUUAGGCACGGGGGUGAAUACAAAUGGCAAAAUGAGAGGCUCGCUUUUUCUCAGAGCUUGCUGGCUCACCUUUCGGGUUGCACUGCCUAGCCCUCUACACCAGCUAAUCUAAAGAAAAUGGCCAGUUCACAAGGGGAAUCGGCCCCAUAGUCCAGCGAAUCUCAAGAAAAGGUCGGUUCACAAGGGGACAUAAGCAUCGGCACCAUAGUAAGGGAGUCUUUCCUCACAGAUUAACACAGUAGGGAGAGCCCUCGAUUCGCUCAUUUCAACGAAGCUCAGUCAGUUAGUUUUGGGCUGUUCCAUUCUUUUGGUAGAGGCUUUUCCGCGGGGCCAAGCAACUACUACUGUGACAGAGGCAAAGAGCCAAGCGUAUACCUGGACUAUCGACAUCCUUAUUAGUGUUGAACUUAGAUCCUUCGUUGAUCGCCUCCGCCCCUGCUGUCGUCUCUGCUUUAUAAGCGUUUCUAUCUUUCUCUGCUCGCACCUGCUGAUAAAAUCGGAUCGACUGAUACAGUAUAUGCUAUCGGUGGAGACUACCUCAACAACAGGCAAUUGGAUCUUGUCCUCUGCUUCAAUUUAUGAUGAAACUGCGGUCGACUCGUUCCGUUCUUGAUCUAGAUACUCUGACUCGGUACCCAGAUGCGACCCGACCCUAGCUGACCCCGCCCCGCUUCUUCUGAUGGGUUGGUUUUCAAUGGGGAGUUACAGUAGUUUUGAAGCAACGAAACAAUCUUUCUCUUAUCUUAUGCGCUCUCGGGGAUGAAUUUCACACCUAUGAGACUCUGGGGGAUUAACCUAACACUGCCACAGCUCGCGCACCCUUUCCAAAAGAAAGGUAUCGUUGCUACUCCGUUGAAUUGUAUCCCUUUUAUUCUUUUCUGCCCAAAGCCCCCACCCGGACAUUCUUAGCAACCUCAGCUGUAGAGAUUAGAUUCAACAUUCCAUUCUUUAAGCAAGGGAAGCAAUGCUUAGUUUUAUGACUGCUACUCUAUAUGUGGAACGCUCAAUUCUCUUCUCUGCCUUUUGCACUCACAUUCAAUGAGAUUAACUUUAAGGGUCGAACAGGAACGAACAGGAUCGCGCAGUAACGAACUGGAAUGGAUUUCUAAGGGAGUAAUAACGAAACUACUAAUAAGGAAAAUUCGAAUAAGAUAAGGGAAAGUCCGCCUAUGAGCAGGGAAUGUUAGACUAAAGGCCAGUAGCAGAAAGACCAGCAUAAGCACAUAAUCAAUAUAAUAUGUAGUUCAUGUCAGGUUGAAAGCCCAAAUCCCGAUCGGUAACUACAGACGGAAAGGCAGUGUAAGUUUCAGAGCGCGGAUAGUCGGGCUUGGCUACUACCCUGCUGGGUAGUUCAGUUACUUAUGAGUUCAAUUAAGAGUUUUCUACUUGGACCUGGGUAACCAAUGAUGUUACUGCUUGGUGUGAAUCCUAGGUUGAUUCUACUACCUAUACAGACUACUGAUACUGAGACUAUUACUUAGUUGUUAACUCCUUACUUCUUAGUGCGAUUCCUUUACUUAUGGGUUUCCGUCUUAUCGGGUAGGUCGUGAUUUCUUGUUAUCAGCAGUUCGAUUCGAUUCUUGUAUAUGCUACAUCUCAUCAAUCCCCACAUUGCUAAAGAAUAAGAGUAAGGGCUGUAAGGCUGUCAGGCAUUAGUUGCUGAGUUGGUGUUGGGAAUAGCAGACUGAUAGGCAAGAGAUAUUGGCUUAGUUCCAAUGGGCAGUAUAUAUAUGCGGAGUUCCAAGUCCCAUUCUUAGGUUUCUAUUCUGGGUGUCGUUAUUUCAAUCUUGUCGACACUGGAUUUAUUCUGUAUUAGCGGCAGGGUUCCUACUUAUUAGUUUACGAAGACAUCAGCAGGACAUAACUAAUAAGAAAUACAUAAUGGGGGCAUUGAGAGCAGGGUCCUAAGCCCCUAAAGACAUUAGUGGCAUACUUCAGGGUGUAUGCGCGCCUGAGACCUAAGCGGAUUAGUUAAGUAGUGACAGCAAAGAGAUAGGGAAUGCAAGGGACAAUUAGAAGACUGGCUACCCGAAACACGGGAGUGGAAGUAAUAAGUACAAGAACCUGGCUACCUAUUAAUAAGACUAAACCGAAAGCAUAUAGUAAUGAGAGAGCGCAGUCGCAGUUUUCUGCUAUAACUAAAGAGUUCAAGAAGCAAUACGGAGGCUUAAGGUAAAGAGUAGAGGACAACAACUCAACAGUCGGAAUGAAAGCAAAGCAUACCAAGAGUGAAGGUCAAGGUAGUUAGAAUCAAGGCAAGGAUGGUUAUAAUGAGAAAGGAGAGCGAGAGGCGGUAAUCAAAGACAAAGUAGGCUCAGACUCCAACAGCAGAUCGGGAAUUCGAAUAAGUAGUUGAUGUUUGAAACUACAACACUAGUAAGCGAAACUGGAACACAGGAGUUUAGGGAACAACUAAAAGAAUGCAAGGCAGGAAUGUCAGGGCAACAUAAGAUAAUAUGUGAUGGUCGUGUCGGGUAUUUCGAAUUCAAGCAAAGAGAGGCGGGCUACGAAAUAGUUUAGUCAAAUAAGAUCCUAGGGGCGAUGGGAGGGUAAUACUUUGGAGUUCGUAGUGGAAGGCCUAUACGCUUAAAUACAAGAGUUAGAGGAAGGGGUUCAAGACCUAGUUAUUAGUUCAAGUAGUGUUGGGCGCCAGUUUGAGUUUGAGUUCCCCGUUAAAGUAAUAGAAGCACUGGUUGGUUAUAGGCUCAUAAGCUAAUAAGUAAGUAAGGAUCCGGUUCAGCAACUAAUAGCCCUCAAAGAAGUGGAGCGGGCCUGCCCCCACAAACGACUAUUCUUAUGAAACUACAAAUCAGUCUGCCCUUCCUCACUUACUUCCUCUAGUCAACGAUUGAAACAGACUUGACUGUCUACUAUACGGGUCUACCCUGCCUUGCUUGUUAGUUCGAGCCUAUCUCGCCUAAAUCUUAUUUGUCAUAUCAACAACUAGAUCUUUCUGCCACAUAUCCAUGCGUUAACACAUAGGUUCUAUUACUAUAAUGGAAUUACUAUACGAAAACACAUGCUAUUAUUAUAUAUCAUAUGAAAACGUUAGAGUCAAUAGUGGGUGCCAAGGGAAUGCUGCGCUACCUUAUUCAUUAGAAUCAGAAAAUGUAAGUAAACCCUGUCUUACUUACUAAGUAGUCAAUCUUUUACUCACCGGCAGCAUAAAGCCUUAUUCAACAGCAGUCCACGCCUUACUAUAUCUAUACAUUUCCAAGCCUUCCCUUAAAUCAUUUCACUCUCCAGCUGAUUACUUGUAUUUUUUGACUACCUGAUCCCGGGUCCUUUCACCCAAACUGACAUUGCUUUACCUGAUUCUUAAUACUCUUACGCCCUUCCCCGUGGCUAGCUCCUCAAACAAAUAACGAGUUUUGUUAGCUGGGUUUCUACCCUUGUAUGCCUGAGCUCAAUUCGCUAGGCAGUAGUCAAUUCUUCUAUAUUCACUAGUUCGACUCCGCCUCUAUGGGCGCUGUAUCCUAUUCUGAAUAUAAGUAAUAUAAGUAAGUAAACAAAAAGAGCGUAGCUAAAGUGUGUUCUGGACUUCCCCUACUGCCUACGAGGCUUGCUUUCCCGUCUCUAAGCCCCACAGCUAUAGGCACCAACCUCUACUUGUUCUUUCCAUGCCUAUGCUCCAGCUAAAGUAUUAACUACUGAGUUGAAACCGAGCCUAGAGCAAUUAACGUAUUACUUCCCCACGUAUCUAAGGCUCUUACUCUGGGUCCUUUUUUCUUCUUGUAUACCGGGCAGUGGGUUUGUAUUGCUCCCUAAAGUCACCAGAACGGAUGAAGGGCUAUUACUAACGACUUUCAUCGCACAACUCACUUAUUUCUGUGAUUUAGACCUAACCCCGCUUCGCUCAAGUAAGCUUCUUUGAGUGCUGCCCCAACUCUUCUUUAUCCUUUUUGCAAAUCCAGUUUAUACAUCUGAUCCUCCUCUUUGCUUUUACUACUCAACCUUAUACUUGUUGGUAUCUUCUUUAUGGACUUUAGGCUUAUGCUGCCUUAACUCAAGAUAGGGAAUGGAGCUACUCACUAUAGGCCUGUAACUACUGAUAACCAUUCUCCAUCUAUUGAUCAAACUAAAACUGCUUACUCGCAUGACCUUUCUCUUGUUUUGAAACUAAUAGUAAGUUAGCCUGCCUCUACUGGUUAUAAUUCCUAAACUCCGGGUAAUGAUCUAGUGCAUCUAAUCAUAGGAAUAGGUCUAAGAGCACUAAGCAACAAGGCAACAAGAAAAAUCAGUAAUAUGACCAAGAAUAAUAAGUAUAAUAAGUAGAAUAUUACAUAGAACCAAACUCUGUAUUAUAAGAAUUGAGGUACAGCCCAACGCAUAUAGGUAUAAGAACGUUCCACAGAGAAUAUGGAAGUGAACUCAGCCAGCAGCCAGCAGCUGACGCUGACCUUGCUUCACCGGCGUAACAAUCUUACCUCCACCCGGGCAUAAUCCUACUCGUUAGCUGCGUUCCUCUCUUAGGCUUACUCCCUUCUCUAAGUUUCUGGUUCCUGCCUAUCCGCCUGUCCCCCACACUGCUGACUUCUAUUCUUUAACUAAUAGAACCCAACCUUUUACCUCCUCUUUUCACCUAUGAAGCCUGCUACUAUUGAAUGCAAUUCUGGAGUGAUGCUGCCAAACCCCCACAAUAAUAUCGUACUUGAUUCCAUCUAUAGAGUUCCAUUCCAUGCCCUACUCCUUUAUGCUUAGACUAAUAAGCUCCAGUCUGAUACUCGGAUUUGUUCUUCGGAAACAACUGCAGUAAUAACUUCUUAAUAACUAAUAUAUUAGCGGACCUGCCUUGCUUUAAGUCUAUCUUUUCUUUCUUCAAUGCCUUAGUUCAUUAGCUUCAUCUUAAUUCUUCUGUUUACUGACAUCAAUUAUUCCUUUCUCAUAUGAUAACAAAACGGGCUUUCUGUUUUAGAUAAAGGAGUGGACUAGUGAAAAGGUGAAGUCAGAACGGAACCACACUCUGUAUUAGUAGAAAGAAGUAAGGGACGUGCCCUACAAUACAAGAAAGAAUAAGAAAAACGGAAAGAGUUGAAUCACUGGUAGCGCAUCCACUAAGAGAAUAAUAGCUGUAAUCAGAUAUUAGAAUAAUUGCAGUAAUCAUAAGAACGGAACCCGGAGGCACAGUGAAAGAACGAAAUGAGUACAAGUAAGGCUGUUGGGUAGCAUUUUCAAAGAGUGCUAUAAGUAGUUCGAGGCUAAGGUGUAGUAAAGCCAGGAUGGGGAUCCGCUGUUAGAGAACGCAGGGAGGGAGUCACAAACAGACCUAUACCCAAACCCAAACAUAGGAGGAGGAAUGCAAGGACUAUUAUCAGAAUUGAGCACAUAACUCGAGAGGAACUAAGCACAUAAGAUAGCCUGCCCUUCUGAACUCUAAACCUGAUGCUGCUUUCUCUUAUUUGGAAACCUUGAACAAUAGGUUAGUAGGGCGUAUAUCAACUCUCAUAAGAAGGGGCUAUUUCGGCUAGUUACUAUUAGAAUGGGGCUGGUGCCUUGCCUAUAAGACAGCAAACAGUGCUUCCAAGCAUUAAACACAGAACCGACUUACUGAUAAUCAGAAUCGAUCUACCGACAAACAGGCCAAAGAGCUACUGCUUCCAAGACAACAACCACUGCUUAUAGGACUUACCCCGGAUCGAACAGCCACUUAUGAGAAUGGAGUAAUUGGCAAACAGGCUCUAACUACUGAUCCAGAUCUUCACUUGUGUGUUGGGCACGUUGCCUAGUACUAAAGCAAUAUAAUCAAUAUAAGUAAACAGAAUCAUAUCAAUAAUACAGAAUUCAUAUCAAUAAUAUAAGAUAACGGAAUUGUUCUCAUAACUCGAGAUUGAACUUAUUAGCCCUCUCUUUCUCCUCGGUAAACCAACACAACACCCCUCGCUUUCGUUCUUCAACGAUAAUGAAUUCCAAUUCUUCGGCUCCUUACCCGCAUUCUGUAGUUCGAGAGUGACUCUGCCUAUCCUCUAAAUGAUUCUGACUGUCCUAUCUCUAUGUCUCCCGCUCCUUUCCCUUAUUCCUAUGUUCAAUUAUUCAUAUGACAUUACCUUCUCUUAGUUCCAAUCAAUAGUGAGUCCGCCUAUCCACUUUGACUCCCCUUAUUAUUAUUAUAUUAGAGACUUUCCUCCACCCCGCUUUUAGCUUGCAGCCCCGACUAUUCGUAAUAAGUGAGAGGCCUCUCAUCUGAUCAACUCACUAUUCCUAGACAGGGAAAGCUGGCAAAGCAAAGAUACGACUUCCUGCCAUUGGAACGAAGCAAGAGGACAAGAAAGAACCGAGGUAAAGACACCUGGCGAACCAUAUCCACACGCUCCCGCUAUACGACAACAACAUAAGGACAAGAGGAAAGAGCUAGGAAUGUACCAAUGGAAAGAGAGCACCGGCAUUGCACCUUACUUGAACCACUUGGCCCGCAGGGGCCCGCCAGGGAGAGCCAACCUUCAAGGAUCUCUCCGGAUGCCCGUAUCCUGAUAGCCAAGAUUGGAUGCCGGCGGAACCUGUCUGGGCCUUACACGAAGUCACUUCACUCGCGGACAAAAAAGAAAUGGAACCUCACAAGCCAUAGAAAAAAUAGGCUACUUCGACUCCUAGACAGAAGAAGAGAGAGUAGGAAUGCAUCGACAGCUGGGCGUGUGGUCUUAGUAUAUUCCUACUUCAACCAACCCGACUUCGAAGAAUCAAAAGCACAGACCGAAGCAGACGGAAUAGAAUAAGAAAAACGCUCGUAGUCUUACCCUCGUUCUCCGAACCAACUUACCAACUUCAGGUAAUAGACCUAAAGAAAGAAUAGACCUGCUAAUGGAAGGCUAACGUACCGAAUAGAAGGCUUGCAAUCCUAUUUCUAAAGAGAAUUCCAGUAGUCCUCUCUAAAGAGAAUCCAAGUUUGAUCUCCCGGGUCGUGCCAGUUAGACAGGAAGAAAAGAGAAAUACCUUCCUUCAAGGAACAAUCAAACUAGAAGGUUCUUUCCAUUUUCUGAAACAUGCUAUCAGAGAACGAGCUUUAGAAUCCUGCUCUCUCUACCUGCUGACUGCUAGCUUUAGAAUCCUGCUCUCUCUACCUGCUGACUGCUGGCUCCAUCUAAAUCAAAGAAUGUGGACAAACCACUUAUGUAAGUAAGUAACCUGACUGCUAUUAAUUAUCUUAUAUCUAUUUCUGUAUCCAACUCAAGAAAUGUGCCCAGCUCAGGCAUUCUAUCUGUGCCGAGUAGUGCUUUCCCUUAACUUAAUGAGUAGUGGCCUUUCCUUUGCUUGCUUAGCUUUCCCCUGUGUAUAAGAAGCGGUUAAUAAGUGUUGGCUAAAGUCAGCAGAAGAAUUGCCAGUGAUAGUGACAGGUGCAGAGUCCAAAUAAUCCAGAAAGGUAAGCAGUAGAAAAGUCAUAAGUGGUAAGCUAAGCUGGACAGAAAGAAGUUGUUUCAUCCCAUAUAAAAGAAGAAAGAAAAAGAGCAUCAUAUCUUUUCGAAUACCCAAUACACUACACGUAGCGGUUAAGGCAAUUCAUUCUGUUUGUCUUUAAGGUUAUGUUUAGAAAGUAUAGAGCCAGGAGUGGAUAGGUGAGUUAAGGUAAAGAUCCAAGAUGCUGCCCUUAAGUUAAUGGGUAAAGUAGAAAGGAAACAGGCGCAAGAAGUCCUUUACUUAAGGUCUAGGCCGAGCAAGCCCCACAAGUUCUGUUGAUUCAAAAGGUUGAGUUGAUAUGAUUCCGGGGUGCUCUUAACCAAGUUCCGUCUCAUACACUCCAAAUUCAUUUCUGGAACGGGGAAGAUCAGAUGAUAGGGAAACCCCUACCCUCUUGGUUUCGAGAUCCUAUAUGGAACCAUUUGAACGUCCAUUCGGGCCUCAUUCUCUUCUCCUCACGUUUCAGUCAGAGCUCCGAAAUGACUUUGCCUCAUAAACCAGCACUUAAUCCUAAUCGCCCGUUAGCUAGCCCUACUUUUCUUUUGACUCGUAAAAGGCAGUUCAAUCCCCUUUUCUACUUUUAUACAAUAUAUUCCAUCCACUUUCCAUCCACUUUUCGAAUUUUCUACUAUGAUAUAUGGAACAACUAGGCCAACAACUUGACUUAGCCAUUCUUCGGAUCAAACACCCCUUCUCCUGCCGAAGUGCCAAACUACGGGAACUGGUUUUACCUCACUCCGCUCGCCCACCAUGGAGUUCUGAAUGAAGCUCUUUCCCGCGCAGGCAAUAGCACUACAUUGUCCCCAGCUUAUCAAUUCCAACAAGAAUAGGUCACUUUGCUGAGCGGAACAAACGAAUGAAUGGGUAAAAGCUCUCGCCUUACCGGGGUAAAGAAGGGUCUCCGCAUUUGAAACUCAACCCCUCGGACCACUUUCCUUCCAUACCCAUAGGACCAAGGGCUCGUACCAACCUAACUCUUUUAAGACACCGGGCUCUUCACGAAAACAGAGCAAAGGUGCUCCUUAACAACCUGAGCCACAUCCGCCCAUGGUGGGCAAUCCCAUCAGUUCUCAGUUCUUUGGAUUCAAUUCUAUCCAAAAGAAAGGGCCCAGGUAGCCUAACAAAUGCGUCUUCCGCUAUCUUAUCUAAUUCAAAACCACGGUCACUUCCACUUGCCUAGCUGAUAAAACCACUGUCUCAGUAGCUUCCUCUGGAACAGCAGCGUAUAAAACAAAUAAUAAACAAAGAUGUGAGAGCUUGAUAUACCUAAGCUAAGGGUUCUCGUCACAAUGAUUAGAUUUCUUUUCAAGCAAGAGUAAUUCAUUCCUUUUCGAUAAACAAAAGUAGGCCGUUUUUAGUAAAGUAAUAUAGAGUUAUACAAUUGGAGUAAUAUAGAGUUAUACAAAUAAGAGUGUCAUUCCUUUCGAGAAAAUGCCCAUCACGCCUCUGCUCUGACAGUCCCUUCAUGCACUGAUUCCCGUCAAGCACUCGUGGUGGAGAGUCGCGUGCCACUCACUGUGGUUGCAUCCGAGUUUUGGUGGAACCUCGCGUCCCUGCGCCUCACUCAUAAGGUAAGGUAAGGGCUGAAGAGGGGCUCGAUGAGGAAGAUCUACUUCUAAUGAGCCUGUGUCAGUGGUUGGACAAUUGAGACCAGUAGUUUGGACAGUGGAAGUGGAAAUGCAAUCCCAAUCUGAAUCUGUCGAAUCCGAAGCCUCGGUGGGGCAUUUUGAGUGUCUAAGGGCUCAAGUGAAGUUGGCAAUCAGAAGCAACGACGGUGGGGGCUCUCACUCAAUAACGGCGUGCAUACUAGGUCCCUAAAGGCGCUUGUGGCAACCCUUCACACAGAGCAGAGCAAUAGAAAGUUCCCCGCCCGGAGAAGCGAGAUCUACUGUGGUAGGAUUUAGUUCUAGAGUUUCUACUAGUUAUCCGGGUGAAAUGUAAAUCAAUUCAUAUUCGAUGCCUUGACUUGAGUUUGGGAUUCAUUCGAACCAAAAUGAACUACCCCAUUACAAUAGGGUGACGGGCUGCCAAUCAGAUUGACUUUGUGCCGUUACGUAUUUGCCUUGGCGUAUAUCAUAUACGGCUCGGGGUAGAUGGCAGGCAGUCCUAUAAGUAUAAGUAUUGGUUUAGUCCAGAGUAAGAUCAUACUGUUAUUGGUCUUGGUUUUCGUCCAGUAAGAUAUAUAGGAGAUAUGGGUCUCGGUUUUCGUCCAGUAAGAUAUAUAGGAAACUUUUCUCUCAGAUGAAUACCGUUCUGUUAGACCCGAGCGACUAUGACCAGGAGGAGAGCUCAAGUAAGUGGCAGUAUAAGCUUAUUUGGAAGGUAAUGAAGAAGUGGAAGAAAGGAUGAGUGGAGAACGACUUGAGUUUUGGAUUUAGCAGCUCCAAGUUCAUAUUAGGCCUUGUGCUUGUUCGCUCAUCAAGGAGACCUACGAGUACGUCUGUGACUUGAGUUUGGCGGGCCUUCCGCUAGCCCCAUAGAGAAAAGCUUUUACCUGGAACACCCUCAUGCUUCCACUUUGACUGCCGUUUGCUCCCAUUGAAGCGUUUGCUCGCCUCUUUACCUGGUCCGGUCGGACCUGGUGGGAACUACUACAUGAGCUUAGAAACGAGAAAAAGGAAAUGGGCUCCCCUGCGACAAAGGAAGCGAAUUUAGCACUUAACCCACACCGACUUUUGUAAGAUACCAAUCAGGGGCUUAUUCACGUCUGGUAUUAAUGUAACGUAACGGGCAGGCAGCGCUCACUACUUCGUGCUUCAAUUGACACCUCUUCCCGACUCACGUCAGAGAGCCUCCUCACGGACAACACAACGGCUAGAAGAGAGGAAGUAAGAAAGAGGGACAGCUAACACACUGUUGAAAACAAAGGUAGUUAGUUUGGGCUUCGCCAUCACCUUACUUACUGAAACACACUCCAACUUAUACUAAUCAAAUAUUCCAGUAUUUAGAACAGCUAGGUACCGGAGCCCCAGAGUGAAGGACACCUUUUUAGUAUUAUGAUUAUUCGAUUAACUUCAAGCCAACUGAACCAAACCUAACUUAUUAUUUGGAUGAAACAAAGACUGUAACUGCCGAGUGCCCUAACAUUGAUUUGACUCCCGGCUUAGCAUAGAGGACCAACGACCUUACGUCUCCAACCGAGUUGUUAGUUUUUUGGUAGUCCACUUAAGAGCGAGAAUCAUGAUACUCAAGGGGCGGGUUCUCUGGGUCAGCAACGGACCCUGGCUUUCCUUUCCUUAAGUUGAUAUUGGCCUAUAAGAAAGAAAGAGGAUUUUGGGAACAGUUUGUAAAGUCAAAACCUGUCUUGCGUAGGACAAGAUUGAGCGGAAGAAGCCGGCUUGUUGCAACCGUGACCCAUUCUAGAGAAGCCAUGAGUCAGUUUCUCUAUGCACUUUCUCACUGGAUUACCAAAGAAAGGUGAAAGGAUUUUGGGUCGAUUACCUUACGGCGAUAAAGGAUUAGACGGUUCAUUUGGAAGCCUUUGGAAUCUUAUUCUUUCAAAUAUACAGAAGUAGUCGAUGACUAAAAGAAAAGGUGCUGAAAGCCUAAGGCAAGGGGUCAGGGUAGUCUACGAAUUGUUGGUCCUGACUAAUGGCGGAGGGAGAGCGUAGCAGGAACUUUCUUUCCUGGUUGUAAGGUCGGUCUAUAAACCAAUAGAGGUCAGAGUUUCGAAAAUCCCCGAGAAGUGUGGUGUAUGGGAAUGGAGAAGUAAGCAUUCGAGUACAUUGUUGCAGACGCCUAAAAAGUGCAAUCACCCACCGACAUUUGCAUAAGAAUAAUCCGAUGAAAUCAUACAUAGCAUAGGUGCAUCUUACCUAAGAACCAGAGUAUAGGGCCGCUCUUUCCCAAUCCGAACCAGCUGAAUAGGCCUAUGUAGGGUCGUAAGGCUUCCUUCAGUGAGUGCGUAAACAGAAACUCUUUAAGAUGCCGAAUCAGAAGAAUCAGCUGAAACUAGAGAAAGAGAAGUGUAUAAGCAAAGAAUCCGAAGACGCAUAGGAACCCCAAUCACCUAAAGCAUAAGUAUUCAUCCGAUAACGCCACUGGUUGCCGUUGAUGGCCGUUGCAACAGCCCCGUGAGAACAGAACAAAACGGAUUGCUUAUUGUUUCUAUGAGUCGACAGGAGAAGCACCGCUCAAAGGAACUUUAGCUAGGUCAUUUUUACCUUGUUUUAUGAAGGUAUUUAGUACUCGAAGGAAAAAAACCUCGAAACCGGGUUGUAGCUUAUGGUGCUUUCUUCCCUUCCUAUUAAGCCUUUUACUAUUAGCUUUUUGACCUUGUUUUCCGAAGAUAGCAGCAAUCCCCCUUUUUGAAAAAAAGUAGAUACAUAAAGUAGAAAGGUAUGGAAUUGUUCUUAGCUUGGCGCGCUUGCUUCCCUCUAAAGAAGCCCUAACGCUUUGAAGUCUUAGGUUAAUCACUCCAUUCUUUCCGUACCGACCUGACCUCUCUCGAAGCAGUAUUUCCCUGAGCUGCAUAUCAAGUUUCUUACGAACUAACAUAUCUUUUGUCUCCUGAACCAAAGGAUCCCUUUUCUCCCGCUCCGCUUUUUCCGAAUCAACAUCUAAUUGUAGCUAGGUCAGUCAUAGGGUUAUUUCCAGUCUAGUCUAGAAUCAACACCAAACUAAGCUAAACCUUAACUACGUAAAAUCUACCUGUGAAAAGCUGCCAAGGAAGGAACCAAAGCGCUAGCUACUCUCCGAAAACUAGCUGCAGUGAAAGGCGACUUGAGAGUCAGAAGUGGAGAAGGAAGCGACAAGUUCCUCAGAUAGGCACGGACACUACCCAUUAGGGGUACUAAGCUUUCCCCGGGCAGAAGUCUAGCUCCAUUUUCCAUGUUGAGCAAUGCCGAUACUGCGCGCAUGCUGAUAAACAUAAAAGAACACUUCUGCUUUAAGCUAUAGCUAGGUCGGAGCCCCUUUCUCAUAAAGUGGAGUCUCUUCUUUCUUUCCCCAGUUACAGAGGAUUGACUAACCCCAUGGAUAUGUUGUCGAGGAUUGACUAACCCCAUGGAUAUGUUGUCGAGGAUUGACUAACCCCAUGGAUAUGUUGUCAUCACAUUUAGCUCCGCCUGUUAUAGCAAGCAAGCAAAGCCUACUUCCACUUUGUUGGGAGAGAAAUCCUUCCCCUAAUGCUAUUUGAUCAGCGGAUCAUAAAUGAGCCCAGCUUGGCGAAACUCCACCGUGAAAUAUGCGGGUAGCUCUUCACGAAAGAUUGUUGGCAUGCCUCCCAUAAGAAGGCGGAUAAGGAAACCCAUGAGAGCGCCUUGUCUUGUUCGAAUCUUUUUCCUAAAGAAAGAGCAAUCGAUUACUAUACUAGUGCAUGCAAACUGCAAUCUUAUAGAGCACCUUGAUCCUAUUGAAAAGAAAGGGCUCAGGCGAGAGGGCCUAAGGGUUAAUAAGAGUUCAGAGAAGGUUGGAUCCGGGAAGGCUUAUAAGCCCGAGCGAGGGUUGGUUUUGAACCCUGCAAAAGCAAAUGAAUUCGAUUCCGAGAUGAUAGGUUGGGGCUGGCUUGGAAGGCUAUUUUGCUACAGGGGAUGAUUAAGCGAUAAGAGGGAAACCACACUUUUCUUUCUCCCGUUUGUUUGUGGAUUUCCAAAGAAGAAGUAAGUGUAAUCGAGUAAACAAGCAAAUAAGAUCUGAUGCUUCUAGAUUUCUACCGUUUGUUUGUGGAUUUCCAAAGGAUAAGUCAGUGUAAUCGAGUAAACAAGCAAAUAAGAUCUUCCCUUAGAGCCAGGAAAUAAUACAAUGGGAAUUGGAGUCGCUUUUUCCUCUUUUUCAAUAUAGCUUGGGGUAUUAUUUCUAUUAGUAUUGUCCCACUGUUGCUAGUUGCAUUAUUGGUGGAAGGCUAAAGAAAAGAGGCGGUGUAGCGAGAUGACUUGGAGUGGAGCCUAGACCUUUCAUAAGGAUUGGUUUAUUCCACGUCUUUGGGUCCGGUGGUCACAGGGAAUCUUGAAGCGGCUAAGGAGUGACUCGGGAAAGGGAGAAUAGUUACGGCUAAGGAGUGACUCGGGAAAGGGAGAAUAGUGACUAAAGGUGCGGUUUGGAAGGUAAGGUCGGGUCGGCCACCUCUAUAUUCUCUUUUGACAUUCCAUCACCUCGAGGAGGAGUAAAUAGCAGCAUUCCGUUGGAUAGUUUUCGGGUGUUAAGGUUAAGAAAGACAUUGAAUCGAGGUUGGAUUGACUGGCUAGCUUGGGCUAUCCUAUCAACGAAUAAUUCCUUUCCCUUACUUAACGAGGAGAGAGAACCCUCAAAUAAGCUAACGAAAGUCAUUCUAUAGUAGCCUUGAUUCCGGCAACCACAAAACCGAGCGAGGGGGACUUCCAUAAGGCUAAGGAAAAAGAAGACCACGUGUCGGAGACCAAACGAAGUCAAGACAGUAAAGACAAAGAGUAGCGAGAGGCAUUUCUCCUUGGUCUUCUUCUCUUCUCCGAUUAGGUAAAGAAAAGCUUGUUCGAAUCGAGUCAGUGUUCAUAAAAGAAAGGACAGUUAUUUCACCGCACGCAAAGGCUGUAAGAGAGAACUAGAUUGCUUCUUUGACAAGCCAGAUGGGUUAUUUAAUCAAAAGAGAAAAUACACAAGUGUUGUGAAAAGAAAGUGAGAGUCUUGCUGGAAUAGGUUGUUUAUUUAAUAUAAGAGCUAGCUAAAGCCCCCGAACUGGGCGAACAAACCAACUUGGGCAUUGCCAAACCAACCCCGCGUCUCCCAGGGCUUCCCUUUCCCCAAUAAGAAUGCAUGAUGCUUAUUUCCUGUUUUCUUUCUACUAGCACAUGGAUCGUGAUAACUCUCUUUCUUAUAGAAUGAGGGGCAGUUUCCCUUAGAGUAAUGCGUAUGACCAGACGGAAGCUGAUGAAUGGUUGUCGACUCUGAACGUAGUUCAUGGCACGGUUCCCCCGACCCCGCACCAUUACUGGCAGGCGGCAUAAAGAAAGCCCCAAUCCGCAAGGCUCUUAGCACCUCUUUGGGUUUCAAUUCAUUCUGAACUUCAAUAGCAUAGCCAGAGUAAGCGGAGCAAGUCCCUUCCUUGAUAAGCAGAGAAAGGAUCAAAGAGAAGAAUCUCCGUGGUGAGCAAGCAGUAGCCGAACAAUCCAAAGGAGGUACUAGGAUUCUUGGUAAGAUUGAACUACAUUGCGCAUCCCACAGCUAACUGCAACUUGUGAGCCUAUUUUGAAGCUACUAAAGAAGAGAACAGCCCUUCCAAGUGGGAUGAGGAGUGUAAGGAGGCGUUUGACAAGAUAAAGUAGUCUUUGAUAAAUCCACCUGUUAGAUCUCCUCCGUCUCCGGGGAAGCCCCUACUGCUGUACCCUUUAUUGACAGAAUAACUUGUCUUUGUUAUCAGCCUGGAGUUUUUGUAUAGUGCUGCUAGGAGAGCUCACUAAGACUAGGAGCGGAUUCUAUACCAGUCACAGCGUAUUCUGGGCAUCAAUGCACUAACUCCUUCGCUUAUUCACCCUUAACCUCGUUCUUGGUUACGCGCGCCGUCUACUCUGUGCAUACACUAGGGCUCUCAAAUGGUCGACUGCGAAACACCUUGUCCUGGAAUUCAUUCGAUUUCUAUUUCAUAUUCCCCUUGUUCCUUGGAAAAGAUCUUCUUAUUUAUUAUAUAUUAAUAUGGAAAGAUCUUCUUAUUUAUGACUUAUAGAAUAAUAUGGCUGGAAAGCCUGAGUAAACAAAACAAGACAAGGGAAAAGCAACACAAGUAAAGAUUGAUGUAAUUGCAAGGGUGCUAUAAACCCCCGGCUUACCAGAGUUCGUAAAGUCAUUAAGAGUUCGAUCGAAACUGGGAGAGUUAAGGCCGUUAAAGUUCAUAUACUCAUAUGUAGAUGUAGUGCUUUUCAAAGCCGACUGAUAUUGAUAUAUAAGAGAGGCUGAAGCUAUUGCCUUGCGAUGAUCAUCUUCGGUGGAUCGAACCCAUACUAACAAGCUGCAGUUAGGAGCUCCGGCAGAAAUAGGUGAGUUGGGGUAGAUUUAAGCAGGGGCAUGAAUAGAUCGUGCUUGCACCGGACAGAGAGGCUGGUAUACAGAGGGAAUCUCUUGUGAUAGAUGAGCCGUAGUCCUGGGACAUGAGUCGAGAGGUACUCUAACCUAGCCAUAUGGUUGGGGUGGCAGAGAAGUCAGAGUGCAAUUGGAGACUUCACGACCCCGGCGUCAAUCCUGGCAGCAAUCCUUCAGGGAAUCUAUUACACUCAUUCUAUCAAUGACUCGCCUUAGAUAGCAUCUUAGAUGGCUGAGCCCUUAUUGAAUGAAGCAGGGCUUGACUCCACUCCUUCCCUCCUAUCUUGAGCCUUGACUCCACUCCUUCCCUCCUAUCUUGAGCUUUGAAGCCAGAGUUAGCGUACUGAUAGUGGGGCACUACGGAUUGAUAAUAAAGAUAUGAAAAGACGGAAACUACAGCCUUCCUUUGAUUUUAUGGUUCAAUACCUUCUCUGGCCCAUGAAACAAGAUUGGAAUUGAACCGCUCUAAGCCAACAAAGAUUUCUUACCUAGCUUCAAAGCCUGUAAUUGACUCUGCUACUUACUAUAUGGGCCCGACCCGAACUCCUCUCUGCUAACAGAAUGAGGCUCCUCUCCGGUAUUUCACUAACAAAGCUACUACUAGCAUUCCUAACAAAGCUACUACUGUUCCACUCUAACUCAGAACUCGGGAUUCCACAACUACAUUAAUCGUAAAGGGCAGUCCGCUGAGCUACACUUCCCGCGCGCAACUCUCAAUCUGGUCUUAAAGCCAACUACUCUGUUGCUACUAGAUUCUUCUUAUUUCCCCAACUCGUUAACUGGGGAUGAAACUAGAACAGACAAAUACAAAUAUGAAGUAGACCUCGCUUCAAAUCAAAUACCUGGAAGACGAGACAGAAGUAGAUCUCGCAUCAAAGGCAUCGCAGCUGACGCUGCCCUCGCAUCAAAGCAAGUCAGAUAGUCUGCAACUUACUAGAAGGGCUUCUCUACUUCCUCUUUGAACUAUCACAAGAACAGGACUCCCGGAGACGAACAAAGGACUUGAAGUGCGGACUACCGAAGUCAACUAAUUCCGAUUUCUUACGUACACUCCGAGCCUUACUAUGAAGCUUCCAACUCGCGAUGCAACUCUCACUUACCCUGGACUACCGGGCAAUGAAAUAAGUGUCAUCUACUAUGAAUGAAACGACCCCUAUACCGAUCCCUAUCCAUACGCGCCUACCCGAGUAAGUAAACUACUAAGUCAGUAAACCAACCGACCCGACCCUAGUAUAGGAAUUCCACUACUACGGAGAAGGUAUCAAACAAAAGUAAGGUUAGCAAACAACCAAUAAGGGCCUCUACAUUCCUUCCCACACCCCCACUCGGCAGCAUCUGAUAUGGCCAUGCAUUCUGAACCCUAUUCUUCUAAUUCCACACCCCCGACCUCGUAUUGGAAUGACACAAGCCCUACCCCCUAACAAGACACGCCUACCCAUACCCAUACUAGGCACCAGUGGAUUGGAUCUUAAGUCAACAAAUCAUGAAACAACUCUCCCUUUAUCUGAAGCAACAAAUCAUUUCUUAUCUUGCGCUGAAGUGCCUACGUUAGCCUCAUCUUUCGAGCAGAGAGAUCUUACCAACAGUUGGACCACUCCCCGGGCCGGGCGCAACUAAUUCAUAUGGAAAUGGAACGGAUCUGCAUAUAUAGUAGGAAAUGCAACUCAAGUAAUGGAAACUACAUCCCUUUUGUCGACCUAAACAGAACUUUAAUAAUCUACAAGCCAAUACACCGACAGAUUCCACUCGCGAUUAAACUCAUUGACAACGCGCUGAGGAAACCAGUACUUUUGAGUCCUUUAACGCAAGUCAAGCUGGCUGAUAUACUCCCUAUAAGUUCACGCUUAUGCUUUUCUUCGCUUUAGAUCUGACUUACUUAACAUGCAUUUCAGAUUGAAGAGAAAUCCGGAAUCAAGCCGAUGAUAAGAAGUGGAUCUUCUUUAUGAGUUGCUUCGACAGAUAGCAAAGACUUCUCACUUAUAAGUCAAGUAAAGUAAAAGACUUCUCACUUAUAAGGAUAGUAAUAUUUCACGAGCGAGCUAAGCAAAUUCCAAUGAAAUAGCUGCCCCUCGGAGUCACUUUUCAAGGUUUUUAUAGUCAAGUGAUUUAGAAUAAGUUCGGAUAUAGGAUAGCCGAGUAAGCAAGCGCAUUCAGGGGCAUAGGAUAGCCGAGUAAGCAAGCAUUCGGGGGCAUAGGAGUGGAAUUCUGACCUUUGAGUUCACCCCGACCUCUCCUCUAACUCUAAACUCCUGCUGACCACUCCUGUUCGUUUUCAACCUUCAUUCUUAUCCAAUAACUCCCGGCUCAGCUAACUCAGGCUCAGAUCAUCUCUUUGAACUCUUUCUCCUCUCUUACAAAUAUACCUCCAUCUGUUCUCUUCUCUUGCUCAUCUAGCUAUGUCAACUAGUCCGCAUUUUGCCUCUGUCUCUUAUCCUCUACCUCUGUAAACUGCCAAGCGACUAGGCAAGUCCUGUUUAUUAGGGUUCUUUAUUAGGGUUCUCUUGCCGAAACUCACAAUAAGGGCCCGAGCUAACUCGAUCUUACUUACCGACCUCGACCUGGAACAGGCAAUUCCCCAGGCCAAGCUACUUACUAGACACUCAAUCCGGGCCUAGCUACUACUACUUCAAUCUGUUUCUUAUUUACCGCAAGCUGCUGGAUCCCGAGCGCAUAGCAAGUAAUAAAUACAUUAUCACAGCCUUUGGGAGUGCUUAUUUAGCCUAUGGCAACUUCCAACUAUUAACAGAAUUAGGCUAAUCUCACUCUUUCUCCUCUCCAAUGGAAUACCUCUGGCUCAUAUUCCUUAAUUCUUAUCCAAUAACUCUGGCUCAUCUAACUUCAAUCUGACUUGCUUCAUGAGGCUCUCUUCUCUUCUUGCCUUCAUCUCUUCUUCGGAGAAUUGAGACUUUAGUGACUUGGCCCGAUCAUCUAUAAUAAGAGUGGAAUUCAUAGUUGCUAGCUCAGCUCCUGAUACUGGAAAUUCUCUACUCCAAGCAUGGUCUCGAGCCGCUCUAAGACAACUACUACAGUUAUUGCUCUCAUCUAAUCUAAUAUCAAUACUACAGUUAUUGCUCUCAUCUAAUCUAAUAUCAAGUCCAGGUCCAGUAUCACAGUUGACUUUGGAACUCACUCCUACUGUUGCUCACCUAGUAACUUCCUUCUGGGAAUCGGUGGGCAAGGGAAGCUAAGCUAUAAGUACUUCAGUGAAGAAUUGAACGACUAACGACCAAGCAACGACUAUACCUCUUACCUAUUAGUUCCCCCACUUUCAGUUAGUUCUUACCUUAGACACAAGCACAAUCACCUCCCUCUCUAAACCUACCCGCCAAGCGACUCCUCAUGUUACGCGGCAGCAACAAAUGUACUCUAGUUGACUACCCGGUAAGAAUAGGGCUCCAAAUUCAUUAUUUACCAAAUUCUUAUAUGUUUUUAGAAGAUUGCCCAUUUCCACUAAUAAACUGGCCGGAUAAUGCAUUUCUUCCUAACAUCCUUAGGGUUCCCUUCGAGCUCGAGUAUAGCUUAUUUCUGCCAGACUUAUUUAAUGGUAGAAUCUUAUGUUCGAGUGAAAUCUUAUAAGGAAGUAGGUAACACCCAGGAUAGUUGAUAGGGAGUAUUUAUGGGCCAUUAGACCAGACCUAGCCCCUGAUUCUGUUGAUGACAGUAAACCCUUAUUCUGUUGAUAAAGCUUCUUCACCCGAUCCUGACUCGUUGCUAUAAACCAUAUUCUAUUGACUUCCAAACAAACUCCCGACUCGUUGCUAUAAACUGCUUCCUGCUAUAAUCCCACGGACUAAGAAGACAUAUCUCUUUUGAAUGCCCACUAUGUUAAGGGAAGAACAGAAUCAAGAUCAGAAACAUAAGCAAGAUCGGGCUUUGAAGAAGGAAUUGAUGAAUAAGCCUAAGAUGGAAAGUAGGCUGUCAUAUUUCUGACUACAAGUCGAGUUAGGAAGUCUGCUGUAAAUGAAGUGGAGGUAGCAGCGGUACAAAGAGGAGGUUUGCUAUAAGUGAUUCAGUUUCAAAGUACCUAGAAGCAUUGGUUACGGCUUAAGGAAAGAAAAGCUGUGGAUCUAGCCUAUUAGUAUUCAAAUAGAUAUUAGCUCGUAUAGGCAUAUAAGAACUGUUCUCGUUGGCUCUAAGUGAGGAUCAUAAGCUUCCAGAAGGUAUAGAUUGUGGGUAAUAUUCCUUAUUUAGAUACGACUACUAGGCGCUGCGCUCAAAAGAUUCAAUGAAUUCUUAAGACAGUGGAGUUUAGUCCUUAGUUGAUGCUAGUUAACGAGUUGAUCAAAGUGAAAGUGCUAACGGAGCUCUUGUUGGUGACUUGAACCUUCUUCUCGGCUUGAGAAAAGAGCUAGAACCAGAAACUGUAAUAAUAAUGAACCGGCAUCUGAUCCUGCUCCUAGCGGUAAGUAAACUAUAUGAAUUAUAGCAGUUAGAAAAGUGUGAAGUGACUUCGAAUACUUACUUAUACAUAUAAGGACUAUGACUUAUUACUAAUAGUUAUAGGAGUUAGGAGUUCAAUUCCAUACCUGAGUUAUGAGUUAGUCGUACUUAUCAUUGCUUCACACAAGUCAAACUUUCGAGUUGCUUGCCCACUUCUAGUCGAGUUUCAUCCUAGUUUGCUACUCAAGAAUCAGAGGUUAAGUCGGCAGCAAGCGCAUCUGUUAAACAAGCCAAGUCAGCAGCAAGACGUUCACCAAGUUUAGUUCAGGGAAGAAAAGAGGACAAGACAAACUACAUAAAUAACAUAUAAUAAAGGUACUCCACUUGAAGCAGAAAAAUCCGCAGUGCGCUUGUUAACUACACGAGUUAUAGCAUUUGAUAACCACAGAGAUAGGUCGCUGAACCAGAAUCAUUCGCUGAGUAUGAUAUAUGAGUCCUGUUUCUUUCACUCUCGAAGGAAUACUUGCCAGAAAUGGGAACCUCCACUAUGGCUAACAACUCUUUGAUCGAAUACGAGGGAAAUACUGGGAACGGUCUCUUAUCCGGAAAACAAGACAAGGGGAUGCUACAACACUCGGGAGAACCUCUCCUAUCGAGCUGAGAUAACCUCUUUCAAACAAUCUGAUGGGAGAGCUCAAAAGGAAGUAUAACUAGGAGUCGAGGGGGAACUCAAAGAGGAAUGAACGGAAGAAGGGAAAGGGCCAAGCAACUGGACAAGCUCACCUCUGAGUUUCAUUAUGUAACUACUUAGGUCAAUUCUAACUUUUGGAAAUAGGACCUGGUUGUGUUGGCGAUAUAGGAGAAUAUGGGUAUGUAUGAUCUAUAGGGCCAUACUCAGCAUAGGUACGACUCAGCAGCGCAUCUACCAAUAUGAAUAUAGGUCUCAGAGCACUAAGCAACGAAUAAGUAAUAGGACAGAGAGCCAAACUCCGCUGUAUUGGAAUUCUGGGCACAAGAAUAUAGCCAGUAACAAUAAUACUUUUCACCCAGCGCUAGCAGGAAUCCGCCUAGUAAUAUAGAAUUCACCUAGUAAUGAUAAGACCUUAGCUUCACGCGCCUACCUUACUUGUAUUCUAGAACUCCAAAUAAUCAGAAUUGCACCAACAAAAGAUAGACUGACCUUACUAAGCAGCAGAAGAAUAAAAGCAUAGAUCCAGUUGGAAAGCGAGGAGAGUUUUAGUGAAAGUGCCGCGGGGAGGACAGGCUAUUAGUUAGCAGCUCCAUUCUGAUAGUAAUAAGUGGAUCGGAUCUCUAAUAUGCCCCAAAAGCCUAGUUCCUAUUUACGAGUUGUUGUCUUAGAGAUAGCUGCUACAGCCUUAGUUCUGAGUCGAGGUCUUAUUAGUAGUAGGACCCAAUCCGAUGUAUCUGACUUUCUAGUUGUUCUCUUAGUACUCGGUGAGGCAGUCAAUUCUUCAAUGAAAAUACUUUUAGAAGGAACACACCAUAGGGUUGGGCAAGAAAGAGUUAUUUAUAGUUAAUACAAGUUAUGUUGAAUGGAGCGUUAGACUGAAGCUAUGCAUUGAAGGCAGGAGCCUAAGAAGUUAGGUUCGCAAGUUAGGCUUAGUUGGUGUAUCGGGAAUGUAGGAAGAAUUGCCCUAACCCAUAAGAAUUGGCUGUUGGGUUCUGUACUACUGGUCUGUUACUCUAGUAGCUUAUUCCGUGUUUUCUUAUAUUAGAAUUCGUUUUCUCAUUAAAACGACUUCCCUUUCUACUCUAGUUUGGGUGACUUUACUUUCCUUUCCACCCUUAGGAUGCAACACCAACAGCAUCUUGGAUCUUGACCCUAAAACGGAGGUGAGGACUUCGCUUCAACAGAACUAGUAACCCCAUUAUAAUACUGACUAAUAGGAGUUAGCGUUAAGUAACUUGUUAGGAGUGAAAUUCCAUACCGGUACAAAUACUAAUCUCUAUCCUAUUGCUUUUAUGCACAACACCUUAUUUUGAGUGGCUUGGCAGAGCAAGAAAACCCUCAAAUAAUGGAAUUGGAAGCUGGUUUGAUCUAUUCCUAGCGUUUUCCCUAUCAUCUGAUCUUCCCCGUUCAAUAAAUGCAUUUCAAGCCUAUAAAACAGGGCAGCGUUUCUUGUCGUCUUGUCGGCUUGGCGGACCAGUAGUAGACUCAUCGACAACAAAUACAUAUGAAACUGCUUUAGAUCCCAAUCCAGAUCUGGUUCUUGCUUUCUGCUUUAGCUUACAAACUUGCUCCUUCUUUUUCUGUAACUGGCAAUUCUCCUAAUUAAGAUCUGUCAACUGUUUCUUAUCCUUCUCCCGCUUCGCUUACAACUGACUUAGGAACUGCUGAUUCAGUUACUGUGGAUUCUAUCUCUUAUUGACACCUUGGACUACGGGCAAUCAGUCCAUAUAAGGUCAAUCAGUCCAUAUAAUAAUACUUACCGCAGCACAAGUACCAAAAGAAACGAAACUGGAUUUACUUGUUACUGACUUGCUAUAUGGUGAAACUAUAACCCAAAUAGAUUCAAGUUCAAGGACAGAAACGCUUGUUGGCUCUUCUAAUGCUUUUAAGCCUAUCAUCUUUACCCUUUCGAAAAGAAUCUAUUUCUGGCAUAUAAGAUCUAAUUGAAUAGCAAAACUCACUUCUUAUACUACUGCUGACACAAACUCUCUCACGUGAGCUCCUGUUUUCGGCGUUAGUGUUCGAAAGCCUAAAGUUCACUAGUUUGUUCAAAAGCCUAAAGUUCACUAGUUUGUUCGAAAGCCCUUUUUGACUCUUAACCAACACUAGGAUCUGAAGCCGCCCUUACUAAUAGUGCCGAAGAGAAUGCCCACAGAGGGAUCAGAAGGUGGUAGCAGUGCAAGGACUGGAAAUUCCACUUGUGCUUAUUGUUCUCCGGCUUCUUUUGAACUCAUAUUCUAUAAGAAAUAAGGAUGCGCCUAGCCCUUAAGUAAAUGGGAGUAAAGAUCAGCUCUUUUAGAAUGCCAAGUUCCUGUUCUCAAGUAAAGGUAUAAAGGUGUUUGCGUGGGAAGGGCCAAGCUUCGUUUUGAGUUGCGCUAAGGAGCCCGGGGGGAGUUUCAUCCCGGCUAAGUAACUGCUACAAACACAUAACAUGUAAUAGACGACUGAUGAUUCUUUCUAAGCCAAUACCCGAACAAGAUUUGUAGGGAACUUUCCAAUUGCAGCUAACUAUUGAACUGCUUUUGAUGCUUCUUCAGCAGAUCCUUAUUCCGCUUCCUCACCAGAUCUAGCUGUUGCUUAUGAUCCUACUCUAUAUUCUAAUUCCACAGCAUAUUAUAGAGUUCCUACUCUGACUCUUUAUCCUGUUUCCUCUCUUUCCAUUCUUAUUGUCAACUUACUAGAAGGGCCUCCACUCCCUUACCUGUCAACAGGACCACUACCUAGCGCAACUCUCUCUUAAUUAUGACUUGAAACUAGAGCUCUCCUUUCUGACCCUACUCUAGCUGACCCGACUCUUGCGCCUUAAGGAUUUACUUAUUUGUUUGAUCCUCUCGACUUGCCUCGUUGCUUGGCCCUGUCACAAAUGCAAAUACGGAGCUUCUAUCUCGCUCACUUUAUACUUACCUACCCUAUGGGUAUUCGAAAAGAUCUGAUAUAGUAGACUUCACUCGUACUCCAAGAUAUGAUACUGAUUCACUAACCGUUGAACCCAACACCACAGAGUGGGCAUUCUCUUCUGAAUAAGCAACAUUCUUUUGUUUCGCAAGUCCCGUUUUUCACGUUAAUGAGCGGGCCACUGACUUGGAUCCAGCUUAUGUUCUGCUUUCAACCUAUUCUUUACCAGAUUAUAUAUGAUACUUUCCUCUUAUUGACCCGUGCAGACUUUCUUUCUCGUAGACCAACUAAGGGAAAGCCUAUUAACUAUACUAUACGACAAAGAGCUACUACAGCAGAGUAUUUGAAGUCGCACCUCUCUCCACUCGAAAUACAGAAUGCAACGGGGCCCCCGGGACUACUACUACUGGGCUGGGCUCGCUGACCAAAUCAUUCUACUAUCAACUAUUGGCAAAGAAUGAACUGAGUACCUGGAUGCAAGGGACCGAUCGCCAACAAUUUCUUACUACCACUCACCGGCAAGCUACUAAGAGACCCCAAACCCUAACAAGCUAGUAAGUCAACAAAGUCAGUCCACCACCCUAACCACCAAGCUUAGUAUAGACUAUCUGAUUGCCCAAACUCCCCUUCCCUUGUGUUGCCCAGUCCUACCCUAUAGUAUAGAAUUAGAAUAGAGUCAAAACUACCACUUUGCUAUAAAAAACCCUAGAAUGAGAAUGGAGUCAAAACUACCACUUAUUCCCUUUCCACUCAUGGCAACGUACUAACAAACGGAUUUGCUUAUAUUAUAUGAAUAUGAGUCGACUUGUCCGCUUUUGUAGCACCACUUCUGGCUUAGGUUAGCUUGUAAGAUUCUUCCCCUGCCCCCGGAACUUGACUUUCGAACUGAGGAUUCUCUUGUUUCCCCUGCCCUGGCCCUUGCUUUAGUUCAUUCUUUUUCUACUGCACUGGCCUCUCCUUCUGACUUACAGUAGUACUACCGGUAUUAGGCCUCUACUUCUGCCCUAUUAUUAAGUACUGCUUCCAAAGAUGAAAGUAGGUCUGCUCAUUCUAUUCUAUAUAUGACAACUAAGCUUCUAUAUAUGACAACUAAGCUAAGGUAAAGCCAAUUACCGAACCUAGAUAACACUCAGACACAAUACCGAACCUAGAUAACACUCAGACACAAUAACUAUAAGGGGCAAAGGCAAUCACUCACUCUCAGGCUUCUCCGAUUACCCACAUCGAAUGAGUUUUACCUAGACAAUUAGUUCAUUUGAAACAAGGGAUAUGAAAAGGGUCAAACUCCGUUUCCAGUUCUGAAGGAAGCAAGCCAUAGAGCAUAACCAGAAGCCAAAGUCAGUUUCAACUGAUUCCUCAAUUGGUUAUUAGAGUUCGGGUGCUUCAAGCCUGCAGUUUCUUAACUACUGUUUCUAGGGUGUUAACUAAGUUGACUUUGCGUUCUGCUACUACUCACUUGGAUUUGUACUAUACCUUAUAUAUAAGUAAGUCUGUACUUGCCCUUCCACUAGUAUUCGUUCCUUUAGCCUACCUUUACUUGCAAUAAUAUAAGUCCGGCUUUACUUGCUUUUAAACUCACGAAAUAUCUCUUCUUUCCCCCUGCCCCUACUACUUGGAAGGCUAUAUCACCACUGUGGGGCAUGAUCCUGGCUUUCCAACUGUCGCUACUUACCGAAAAACUUGCUUUGCUUCACUUACCUCUGCAGUUAACUCUCAUUCUGUGGGACGUCCCUUGCAUUUAUGAUUACCAGACUAUUUACUUAUAGAUCAAUACUAACAAUAAGCAAUCGAGGAAUACUGAAUUGAGCUGGGGAAAAGGAAUACUGUUCAUAAGUGAGAGAAUGCAACUGUGCGAAUAAGGUGCUGAAAGCCUAGGAAGCCAAAGAAUGGAAUGUCUGGCCAGUUAAGAUAGUUUCGAGUUAGAGCUAGUUAACCUCACAGGUAGUUUCAGCUUCAAAGUAAGGAUUCCACUCAACUCACUCAGUAGUAUAAGAGUCAAAACCUAGAGUGGAAGCAUCAAAAUCCAACUAGUAAGUAAAAGAACCAACCAGUAGGGGCGUGGAUUCGCUCUAAAGUCAGGAUACCUACAAGACUCUAGGUAGUUAUAUCAAAUUCCAUAAGGGAUGUGAUUCUCUAACACUGGGGUACAGUACAUACCCUGGCUGAUAAUAAAUGCAGGAUACUGGCCCGGGGUGUACUACAGGACCUAUAAGACCAGACAAGUAACUACAACUCGGGAGCUACAUUCCUCUCAACACUAACUCCUGUCCUGUCUCUCGUUCUUUUACUCCCGAUACGACCUAGAGCAUCUACUAAUAGAAUAAAGAUCGAGUGUCUCAUAUUAAGAGAAUUCAAUCAAUAACAGAAGGAAUUGCCCUAAGAAGUAUCAGAAUGGAGUUAAUUGGUAUCGGCCUAGGAUUGAUACAAACAGAGGCGCACAGAACAAGGGCUUAUUCUAAUAGUUUGAAGAGAAGGUGGGAAGUUGCUCAGAAGCUAAAACAAGGUAGUAGAACAUAGAUUCACACUUCAAAGGAGGCCAGUAAGCCUGGGAGACCAAAGUGACUAGUUUCAAAACGAGUUCCGUCAUAUUUAUAGGUGAGUCAAUAAGGACGAGGACAUAGUUGGAGGUGCACAUAGGAAUUCGAAUAAGUAGUUGUCUUGGGAGUUAGGUGCGGAAGGGGCAAAGGUCAGGAUCAAACUCCAGAGUCAGACAGCCGGUAAAGAACCUGUGUUAGUACAUUCUUUCGGUAAAGAACUAGUAUUAGUACAUUUAUGGAAUAUUACCCGCUCAUCAAUUGAAUUAAUAACUUAAAGGUGGAGGCGAGGUCCGCAAUCAGAGAGGGAAGUUCCCUUCAAAGAGCAGAGUUCUGGUGCAAAAGUGAUCACCACACCAACCAAGAGAUUCAGUUGGCGCUGCGUAGUUAUUUGUUUCUAUGCUCGGUAAGUGCUCGUAAGUGCUCGUGCCCCAAAGUAAUAAUGGAAUGGAAGGAUUUAAUGAUCAACUGCCAAAGUGAGAGUUAGAGUUGACAGAAACAGGACUUGCUUGCUGGAGUAGCUUAGCUAGUGUUAUUCCUAUGUUGUAGUUUCAUCCGCUCCCCCAAGUAGUUCAUUCUGACUUCAGUGGUGCCCCCCUUUUUCUUCUGGCUUUUGUAUACGUUGCUUGGCGUCUAGUCGUUGCUUGGCCCUCGCAUUCCCGUUCUCUUGUUUAAACCUUCCUAUACAGCUUGGCAUUCUGACUAUCUUUGAUCUAAUUCUCCAAUGUUGUCCCCCGGUCCUGCAAGGUUGUAGUAAAUAGCCUAUAUAGCCUAUAGGAUAUGGUAGGUAUGAUCGAUCCCGUGCACCUAACAAUUCAAUAAGAAACUGGGAUUUCCACUCAUGCUAACAAGACCCAUACUACUCACUGGGAAAUCUGCUACUUACCUCAAAGCUGUCCUACCUAGCUCUUUGAUUCUGUAACUGAUGCCUAUAAGCCUGUUUACAAUAACUCAUAUAUAUAUUCUUAAUAACCCGCCGAUCAGUCACCGAGCAAACUACUAACUACUAUAGGAAUCAAAUAACAACUAACAAGAAUAAACGGUGUGGGCAACCUUCUACUAUAAGACUUUCCUCUGCUAAGGAAGAAUCAAAACAAAGCCAAGGAAGCAAGCUACUCUAUAAGAAGAACAGGCUUACUUUACUUAAUUAAUUAGACUUGAGUCCGACUCCGAGACUCCUUGAUCUCAGGCUUGCUUUUUGUUAGUUAAUUCAUUAUUCUGGGAUAAGGCAUUAAAAGCGGUAGCUGGCUUCUCCGCUGUAGCUCGCUUCUCAUCCUAGUACCAAAGCCUUGUUGACACCAGUCCCAUUCUUCUGUUGACUUGUUUGAUCCCGAUUGACAUUAUUCGAGUUCUGUUAUUAUAUGCGCGCUACGCCCACGGACCUAAUUCUUAUACUGAUUAGCUUCAUUCUGUACAUGCACCGGAUCAUACCAUCAUACCCUAGCACCGGAGCAUACCAUAUGACCCUAUAGGCUAUUGACUCCAACUUGAAAUACACCUAUUCCAUUGACUCCAACUUUACAUACCUAUUGUUUUAGUAUCAGUGAACUAAGGUUGUUUUAGUAUCAGUGAACUAAGGCCCUAUACUACAUUGCUAGUGCACCUAGGUAUAACAAUUAGUAUUAGGGUAGAAUAAAAGCACAGAACUCAAUUAAUUGCUACUGGAAAGAAUCAGACAAAGAAAUAGGGCUUUUGACUAUUACCUACAAGAAUUGAAGCUACCGCUUUUAACAGUAAAACAAAGAAAUAGGACUACUUUAGCUACUGGCCUCGAGUCCCUGUGCUUAUUGGUUGAAACUGAAACUCAGGACUUGACUUCUUAUCGCUACCAACACUAGUCUUAGAUCACUGCUACUACAUCCCUACUCAAAGCGAUGGCACCUUAACACUUAAAGCAUUACUUGACUGACUUUAAAACAAGUACUCUAGUAUACAUUACUUGCCUAUUUCUUACUAUGCAAUCCAACGAGCGCUUCCAAUCUAAUGAAGAAUCCCACAACAGCAGAUAAGAAUACGACUUACAGCCUAUGAGCCUUAUCUUACUUGCUUCGACUCUAAUACCCUGGGCACUUUCUCUAUAUCUCCUUUUGCUCUAACUCCCUUAUUGCCCCUUGCACCCGGGCUUGUUAAGCUAAAGAAUCGAAUUGGCACCGAUAAUACUACCACAACAAUACUGGAUUUCUUUCUUUCCUCCCCGCUCGUACCUUAUCAAACAAACCCUAGCUACCCCAAAGCAGGGCUCUACGAAACAGAAAGUAUCAUGGCUUUCAGCUCCUUCCUUGAAAAUGGAACUUGUAUCUGUCUUUUAAGGAUCAAUAAUGGCAACAAGUAAAGCGGCAAAUCCUUCUCCAAACUCACGUCUGAACUGACUCGCCGACGCACAACAUAAGAAAGAAUGGAAUAUGAUCUGUGCUUUGCCUGAUGAUUUACAGCUUGACCUUUGCUUUGUUAGUGCUUCUGUAAUGGACUUUUCCUUUGCCUGAGACAGCUUUCCCGAGUAGCUCGCCUUCUUCUUCUCUUAUUGGGUCCUAUCCUUACCCUAUCAAUUCUUCUUUGAUCUACUUCCGGAGGGAAAUCAAUCAGUAUCAAGAAAGCUCUAUCUCUAUAAGCGGGGGAAUGAAAUCAUCUGAACUAAACAAGCAACGGCAAAAGCUACGGAAUAAACAAGCUACGGAACAAGCUACGUAACAAGCUCCGGAACAAACUACUAUUAAUGGAUAGCUAACGGAGAACAAGGCAAUAAUGAAUGAGUCUAGGAUAGGGUUUAGCUGCCAAUAAAGAGCAUUUUCAGAAACUUCAACAAGCAAGAGUAUCAUAGAUGAGCGGUUAAACAAGCGAGUAUCAUAGAUGAGCAAGCAGAUAAUGUGAAUCUAUUAGAUCAUAUGCGAGAUAGAUAAAAUUGGGUAGCUUCCAACUCUCCCGUCUUUCUUCUUGUAAUGGUGGCUUUUGACGAACAGUUGGCUUUAGUUCAUUAUAUCGUAAUUCCUUAAGUAAAGUAAGUAAUUCAUUAUAAGUGGGUGGAGUAACUAACUGUGCCGAUAUUAGUUAUUCAAGCUUUCUUUCUUUUAUUUCACCAGCAAACUCAAGCUGAAAAGAGAAAACCUCAUUGAAGCUUAUGAACGAACCGAACCCAUCUUCCAAAUUGCUAACUAAAGCUUGACAUCACCCUCCAAUAGUUAAGAUAAUAGAAUCUUUCUAGAGAAUUGAAUAUUUACAUCUAUUGAUAGAUAAUAUAAUAUUGACAUCUAUACUGAACCGAGACCUUAACCUCUGCUAAAUCUCUUGGUUUGGUUCGGUUGUCCUCUUUGCUAGCCGGAGUAUACCACUAGUGAAAAACCCUUUGAAGAGACAAGGGAUCGAUGUCGCUAGGCGAGGUCAACUCUAUCAUUGUUCUCCCUUAAUCAAUAUAUAAAUAAGCAAGGCAAGUUGGGCUACAACUAUCCCGAUGCAGCAAAGAAAGCUAGGUCGUGCUCUUAUCGCGGGGAAAGGGUCGACUCCGAAAGAUCAGAGAAAGAACAAGAACCACAUUUGAUCCACACUUAUAGCUAAGAGCGGCUUUUUGAGCUACUAUACUGGCGCUCUCAACGUCGCGCAGCUUUUUCAUCUUAGUAAUCCAUACUCUCGGGGACCUGGGGCAACCAAUAAGAAAGACUCUAUCAUUUAAUGGUAGUUGAGUGAAGAAUGAACAAGUAACGGCUUGCAGCAACAAACAAUGGAACAAGCUACUGUGCAAGUACAAACAAUGAGGCUACUAAGCUUUGGAGUGUGCUGUUAGUGAGCUCUCAGGGCAGUAAAGGCGUUGCGAAAGACAGAGUCGUCUUGAAAAUCGAGUAUUUGAAUCCCUUGAAGAGAUUGUGUUUCAAUACAAUAAAUGCCGAUUCUGAGAAAAAGCUGUAAGCAAAGCAGUGUUUUGAAUCCCUGGUUCAUCGCAUUUCGCCUGCUUUGAUUAGGACUUUUUUGCCAGGUUCUUUCACAGUUAACAAACAACCAUUGAAUCCUGAAGUGACGGAACUACCAAUCCCAAUCAAAGGUCCUACUCCUAUUGACCUUGUAGCAGAUUCGAUAACGGAAUUAGUGCUCUAACAGAAGAGACUUGCUUAGGUCACACCUUGAUCUUAUCCUCCGAGUGCCAAGCUAACUUUAACUAGGAUUCGUUCACAGAGAAAGAUUCGGUUCUUCCUUCUUUUGAUCUUAUCCCGCAACUGCCCCUAGGAAAGAAAAGAGAAAUCCCAGUCUUUAUCAGGUCCGGAUCAGGGAACUCCUCUUUCUAUGCUAAUAGUUUAGUCCUACCUAACUUUAUGUUGAUUGAUACUCGAGAGUAAGGUCAAAAAACAAAGAGUAAGCAAUCGAAGACCUAUUCAUUCUAAUGCCCACUUAUCUAAUCUAAGUUAAGUUCAUUUCGGAUUCAAUCGAUUCUUCCCACCCAUGUGUAGCCUAUGCGAAGCAAGCCAAGACUGGGCUCACAUAUAUCCUAUUCCUCUUAUUGCUGGCAGAUUAUAUAAACUAUUGAUUUGAUUAUAUAAACUAUUGAUUUAUAAACUAAACAUAAGGCAGAGAUAUAGAAAUGUGGGAAUCGUGGAAAAUGAUGUCACAUCACAGCACCUCCCCUCGCUCCACUAGCUAGGUAACUCCUUUUCUAAGCUAAGAAAGCAGCAAAUCAGCGCAAAUAGGCUCUCCUAUCAUUCCCUCCACUUUCUCUUAUAUAGUAAGUAUGGAAUAUAGUCAGUAUGGAAAGUGCUCUUAUAUAGUUAGUAUUGCAAGUAGUCAAGAUGCCAGUGCCUAUGAUAUUGCCCUUCCUUCUCUUGUGCCGGGCGUGUGAAUCUGGAACCAAAGGACUACUUCUCGUGAUGAGCUAUUUUCAGGAAUCUUUCGCCUUCGAAUUUCUUUCAUCACCCUUUUGAUUAGUUUGAACAAGAGAAACUUAUUAGUUUGAACAAGAGAAACCGCGAACAGCUCUUUGCCUUUCUGCUUCAAAGAAAGAGGUGGGGAGAACCAUCAGUUUGGAGCACCCAUAAAGCUGGGGAAAUGCCUUUUAUGAGCCGCCUACCCUACCUAUACGCAACUCUCUCUCAUUGAUUAAGCCUGCCUGCCUGUGAGCCAUAAGAUGAGUUCUGGUCCAAGAGAUAGGACCCACGGUUAUUGAACUUACGUUCCCCGGUUCGGUUAAGCCCGUUAGUAGGGGCGAGCGAGAGCUGAUUUCGCUUUGAAUCCAACUCUGAUCUUAAUGCACCCGAAAAGAAAAACCAUAGGAAUUGCUGAACCAUCGCUAUCGCUAAAGUAAGGAAGAGUUGAGUUAACGAAAGGCCAUGGGGAUAUCGUUGACUCACUUGAACCUGUUGGCUUUAGUUUCCUUAUAUAUGAAAGCGGGAGUAAAGCAAGGAAUUUCUGCCAUAGACAGCGCAGCAAGUGAAUCAGAUGUCGGACUUCUCUCUCGAGAGAUGAGGCGAAUUGAUAGACCAAUGGGGGGCCAAGCAACAGCCUGUAAUGCCUAAGCACCAGCCUAAGUAUACCCAGCAGCAGGCUUAGAUUAUUACUUGCUUCAUUGUCCUGUGCCACUCGGAAUACAGAUUACUUAAUGCGCGUUUCACCUCAUAGGGAAGAAUCGAACAGGUGUUUAUGCGGGCGUCAUAGGGCAGCUAGGGUGAUGUUUCAUUCUGUAUUUCCUUACAGAGUAGCCGGCUACAUCCCGAGUUCAAUCCGUUAUUGAAUCAGUUCGCGGAAGGUAGAAAACGGAAUACAGUUAUUCAAGAAGAAAGUAAGAAGGACAAUAGGCACUGUUAUCUACUACUGGAUCAAGACUAACUUACCAAGACAAACUUCCCAGGCUUAUGGUCUUGCUUCCUUGUCAGUGGAAUUAGUAUUUGUUAACUACGGCGAAAUUGGUACUCCCCAGUCUUGUGUUUUACAGUUAUCAUAUCUUUAUUACUUGCUAUGUGUUCGGCCAUCAAUUGUUCAUCGAUUGUUAUAAUGAAAUGGCAUCUCCUUAGAAGAGGGAUGGAUCUUGGGCAUUCCAUUCUUUUAAGAGUGGGAGACUCAGAGGAUAGGUCAAUACCAGAGAAGAGAGAGGCAAGGGAUACUUUAUUACUUAGUGCAGGACCGCUAGUCAAUCAAUGUGAUGCGCCAUAUCCAUAUAUUAUUAUUAAUGCACCUUAACCUUUUAUAGCUUCUGUAGUGAGUGACGAUCAGAUUGCCCCAUUUCAUCUUUAAUAACAGAAUGAGGCUCCUGUCUCUAUAAGUAUUAGAUAGUAUAGGAAGUGGGCCCUUAUAAUAAUUGCUAGCGCAUUCCCUUAUCUAAUCUAUUAAUUCCACUUAGAGGUCUUAGACAGCCCCUAAAGAUAGAGAGAGUAGCUACCCCUCCGCUCUUAUCCUAACCAAGUAGUCAACAAAUAAUUCAUUGGAUCUUCUCUUCUCUGCGACAAACACUCGAAAGAAACUCGUAUUCAUUUCUGGUGUUGGGCAAGAAGGAGAUUCGAGAGUCAAUUCGGCUUCUUUUCUUAAGCGAAUCCAGUUUUCGGGCCCAGACUCUGUGGUGGCGGCGUCAAGGAAAGUUUCAGAAUGAAAUAUAGUCGCUGAAAGUGAGAUUUUACAGGUACUCUUUGUUAUACGAGCCCCUUGCACCUAAGCAUUCAGUCUUAUCUUAUUCUUUAACAAGUAGUAGUCCAGGCAACUACUAGACUCGCAACGGGACAAGCCACUACGGAUGAAGAUAAGAAGUUUAUUACUUAUACUGAUAGGACAGGCCCAGACUAGAUAGGACUGGCCCAUACUCAGUGGCUAAAGCGAGGCGCGUCAGGGAGCUCAAUAGGAACUCUAAAGUCUUGUUCAAGUGAUAGGGCUGGGCGACAGAAUAGAGGUUAGUGCGGAGAGACAGUAUAGUUCGGAAAUGCAAAAGGGGCAGAACUCGCAUUAGCAUCAAUGGCGAAGUAUCAACUUAUCUAACUGUGCUGUGCUGCUGUGCCGAUAUGAGUAAUUAAAGGAAGGAAUGAGAAUGAGAGAAAGAAGCUUGUGUUAAGCUUAAUUAAAGGAAGAGCAAUGCUGUGAGUUGAGAUAAAAAGCAAGGGUAGUGUUCACAAGAUCUAUAAUUUCUAUCUUAUAUAGAUGGGAGAACGGAUUCCACAUUCUAUCUAAUUACAAUUCCACUCACACUCUUGCCUCCUACCUCUCCACUUAUUAGAGGUUAAGGGUUUACAAGGGAAGCAGCGUACUUAAGAAUAGGGCUGAAGGAGAGGCUAGUGUACUCAUGACGGAUAUUCUUUUUCAUAGCUUCCCUUAUUCCUAUAUAAAGAGAAAGAUUGCAUUUAGUAGGUGCCAAGCGACUACUAGACAAGUAGACAACCAACCACUUUGCUGCUUUAGAGCCCUAUAGGUUAGCGCUAGAUGUAGUACCUAAUUCCAAUAUGACAACUUGUUCUAUUAAUGUCCGUAUUCCAUUCUUCUACUUACUUGUUUGAUUCUCACUUUCCCACUUGUUAGUUCAAUUCAGUAUCUGUUCUGUUGCCAGCAGGGUUCAAUGAUGAGUUGCG
RNAcentral lists this long non-coding RNA (55539 nucleotides) under Musa acuminata (dwarf banana). Its description in RNAcentral is "long non-coding RNA (MACU_LNC008417)". The record is from RNAcentral. Lineage: Eukaryota; Viridiplantae; Streptophyta; Magnoliopsida; Zingiberales; Musaceae.